GCUGAAAUACUAUUGAUAGUAUGAGAAUAGAAUUUUCUAUGAACUUUUUGACCACUAGAUACAUAGGGUUUCGUGGGGGUUGGUGGAAUACUGUUUAUAUACUAUUAAUAGUAUACUAGCUCAACCCUCUUUCUCUAUAUGUAUAGUAGGACUACUGUACUAUUAUGAGUAUAGGAUCUUUCGUACUCAUAAGUCAUUUUCGAUGAUAGAUCUUCCGAAUUGAUGAUUCAUACCGUUAAACAUGAUCUAGAGCAUUUGAAAUUUCUAGAAACCAAAUUUCAUAAUUUUUUAAAAUUAUAAUAAAGUCCAUCAAACAUAAAAAUGAAUAGGUCAAAAUCAAACGACUUCCUAAAAUUAGAGGAUUGAAGUUUUCAAUUUAAGAUCGGAGUUAUUGAUCUUUAUCUAGAUAAUGAAUAGAACAUUUUAUCAAAAGUUUAACCAAUUUCGAUUCUUUUAACUGUUAACUAGCAACUAUCUCAUAUCGGCCGUUAAAAGUUAUCAACAUUGAGAUAUUUUGAUCAUAUGCAAAUGAUAUCGAAAAAUUAUAAAAUUUGGUUUCUAGAAGUUUAAAUGCUCUAGAUAAUGUUUAACGGUAUUUAUUGUUCAUUCGAAAGUUCUAUCAUCGAAAACGACUUAUAUUCGAAAGUUCUAUCAUUUUUUAGACCUUUUGAUCGCUUAGUAAAUGAUGUCAAAAAAUUAUAAAUUUGGUUUCUAGGUAGUUCCAAUAGGGUAGAUUAUACUUAAUGGAGCCGAUCGUCGAAUCGGAUGUUCUACCAUCGAAAACAACUUACAAGUACGGAGGUCUCCGUACUUUCAAAAGUACAGGAGACGUACUCUAUAUAUAUAUAUAUAUAAAUAUAUAUAUAUAGAAUUAUGCUACUAUACUAUCAAUAGUACCAAGCCCUUGGUACUAUUGAGUUUUCGGCCGUUGGAUAAAAGGAUGUGUGGUUAGGAUGAUAGUGGUCCCCGGUUAAAUUAAUAGUGGUCCCCUAGGGUUGAGUGAGUGGUUUGUUUAAUAUUAUAAUCUAACGGGUGGAAAUGAUCAAAAGGUAGAUCUAACGGUAGAAAACUCAAUAGUACCAAGGGCUUGAUACUAUCAAUAGUAUAGUAGCCGGACUCUAUAUAUAUAUAUAUAUAUAUAGAGUGAGGCUACUAUGCUUCUGGAAGCUACUAUGCUUCUGGAAGUACGGACUACGGAGCCUUCCGUGCUUUCAGGUCAUUUUUCAUGUUGCGACUUUCGAAUCGUCGAUCGGCUCCGUUAAACUUGAUCUAGAGUAUUUGAAGUAUCUAGAAAAUAAAUUUUGUAAUUUUUCGAUAUCAUUUGCCGAGUGAACUAAGGGGCUCAAAAUCAACGGCUGAAAAUAAAAAUCUUACAAAACGUGAUAAUAUGACAUUAAAAUUUUAGAUCAAAGAUAUUGAUCUUGUUUUAUAUAGUAUAAAGAAUUUUCUAUCAAAAUUUCAUGUGAUUUGGAUAUUUCUACACCAUUAAACUUGCAAACGGCUCACCACGGCCUUUAAAAUUAUUGAUUUUGAGCCCCUUCGAUCACUAGACAAAUGGUAUCGAAAAAUCAUAAAAUUUAUUUUUCAAGUACUUCAAAUACUCUAGAUCAAGUUUAACGGAGCCGAUCGACGAUUUGAAAGUCGCAAUAUCGGAAACGACCUGGAAGCAUGGAAGGCUCCGUGCUUCCAGACCCGUGCUCCGUGCUUCCAGAAGCAUAGUAGCUUCACUCUCUCUCUCUCUCUCUCUCUCUCUCUCUCUAUAUAUAUAUAUAUAUAGGAAAGAAGUUCUUUUCUGGACGAUUAAACUCUCAACAAAUUUGUCCUCUUUUUUGAAGCCAACGCCCCACUUUUUAUAGCCAUCUAAUUUAGCUUUUUUUUUUUUUUUAACUGCUGAAAUUUUCCAUUAAAAUCCCAAUGAACUUUCUGGUUUGAAUCUGAACCUCAAACUUCAGUUUGUUGCUAAUAUCUCUCACUAGUUUGUUGCUCAAUCCUCUCCCAUUUGAAUUUCAAAAUUCAAGUUUCGGUUCAGGUUUAGAAAGAGUUCAGUUUAAGUGUGUUUUUGGUUUGGUUAAGCUCAACUUAUUCAAUUGAAACAUAGGACCGAAAUUUAUCAAAAGAUUUACGUAUUGAAAACUAAUUUGAUGCCCGCAUCACCUUACUGGUGAAAUACACUAUCCCACCAACUCAGAGAAGCCGGGACCUUCUAAGAAAUAAAAAUUUUCAAAGCUUUCAUUUACAGUAAAAAAUUCUCAUACUAAAGAAGUUAAUACCAGAUAACUCAUUCCAACCUCCAAACAAAACCAAAACGAUUACCAGCGAGAGAGCGAUGCAACAACUUGCAAAAUAUGCAUCUGUUUGCAAACCUAUAUUUUGCCAGAGGAAUAUGAAACAACUGAGCUAUCCCCUGUUCCUGAAUGAUCAGAUGUAGGUGUACUUUCCAUACAUUUAUCCACCAACCGCCCUUGUGUUGAUCUUUGUGAAGCCGUGGGCAGCUGGCUGGUGUGAUAAAAAUAUAUGCUCAAUAUUUUGCUUGCAGAUUUGAUGAGAACAGAACUAACAGUCUAUUCUCAAAAUCUUAUCAAAAGGAGGAAAGAAAGAUUGAGACAUGAUGCAGGAUAGUACAAAAGGUUAGAAUACAUUUAAAUGAAAUAGCGCGUCUGUAAAAGAUAAAGAUCAAAUCGCUAACUGCAAUAAUCUCACUUAAGCAUCACCUCGACCUCCGAUAAUCUCACUAACAACCUUAUUUUUUGACCAUCGGUUAACGAGAGUUAAGAGCAAACUAAUGGAGUCGAUAUCACAUCACUACUAGCGAUUUCUCACAUAAGUCGCAUGCAUGUGAAUCUCAACAUACGAAGCUUAAGUAAGAAGUUUAGAUUUCUACAAUAUUUUGGUACAUCUCAAGCAGGCAAAUUGGAUUCAACUCACAGCAAGCACUCUAGAAACACUUUCAGUAUAAUAGUAGCAACCUCAGAAAUCAUCUGGCAAAUGAGAUUUCAGUAGCGAUAUUUGGUCGAAUAAUCCUUGGGCGCUAUAACCAGACCGCGGCCUUUCCUCGCGCCCCUAUAGACAGUCUCCACGAUGUCGAUGAACUCCUGCUUGUCCUUGAGGGCCCAAUUGAUCUUGUUGUUGUUCCCCGUGCCAAGGUCGAUCAUGAUGUGCUUGUUCCGGAAGAAGAACAUCACUGUCGAGGGAUCAUACAACUCGUACAUGGUAUUGAAGUCAGGGACCUCUGUGAUGUCCACCAGGUAUAUUACUGCAAAGUUCUUGAUGGUCUCUGCAACUGAUGCUAGCACUUCAUCCAUCUGCUUCAACAUGCAAAAUUAAAUCUAAAAAUCCAGGCCAGAACAUAGAAAGGGGGCGAGGAAGCAAUAAAGCAGCAAUACAUAAUUAACAUAGUUUUCAGCAACAAUUUCUGGUUCAAGUGGUUGAAUCCCAUAAAUCAUGGAGGCAAGUUUCCAAUUGACAGAACUUCUGCUAUAAAGGAGACAUAUUAGACCAAGAAAGAAGCAAGCUGGCAGGGAGGAGAGAAAGAGUUAUAGGACGAAAGUUCAGUUCUGUUAGCCUUCUUCGUGACACAUUUUACUAGUACAGAUAACAUUUUACUAGUACAGAUAAUAAUCGAUGCACGUUUCUUACACUUUAUCUAGAGAAAUAGGUUUGAAAAGGGCAAACUGCAUUGUUCCCCCAAGAACUUCUUAGAAAGUUUCACUUUGCCCUCUGCCCUUUAAAAAAUGACAAUCCUAUAACUUGUGGAAAUGUUACAAUUCACCUCUUUACACUUCUUUCCAUCAUCUCCAUUAUUAUAGUUGAAGUUGCUGUUGACAUGGGUACGAUGUUAGCACGCUGGUUUUGCCAUGGUGGCUCAAGAAAGCAGUUUUUUUCUUUUUCCCCCUUUUUGUCAGCGAUCCAUUCAAAAGACUGACUUAUGAGAGAAGGAUUUCUUUGGGCAGAAAACCCCUGUUCUCUCUCAAACAAUGAUCAACAUCCAAAUAAGGGCUAGAGUUAGGGGCCGACGAGUGAUUCUACAAAUUCCGUGUGGAAGAAGGGUGAAGAAUGAAAAUCUAGCUUUGAUUUCCAGAAAAAUCAAAUCAAGCACCUUGCUUGAUCCCCAUCCUCUAGUUGCUAGGAAAGAAACCUCUAGUUAAUUGGUUUCCUCUAGUUGAUCUGUUUCGCUCGAGAAAUGGAAAUCUUGAGGGGUAAAGAAGAUUAUGGACUGAAAUAUGGUAAGCUUUCCUAUAUGCUUUAACUGUUCUAUGAUUUAUGGUUUAAUAUUGGGAUUUGUGGCCUUUUUUAUUGAAUUCAUUGAUGCAGGAGGAUAUGGGGUCGAACAUUUUAGGGGGCAUUUAAAAAAUAUAAGGUUUUAAUAUGGUAAAGAAGAUAAUGAAUAUUUUCAUGGCCUUUGAAUGAAUAAAAGAGAAACUGGGAUGAAGAAAUAUCAAAGUUUGAAAAUACAUCAGAGUUCCUAUUCGAAUUUUUGGGAUUUUUUUAAAAAUUAAUUUGAAAUUUUUGUGAUUAUCUAGGAAUAACAGAAAGAAAAAUAAAAAUAACACCAAAACUCAGAAAAAUUAAAAAAUUUAAAAAAAGGAAAAGAUAGGGGAAGAUAAUUAGAACUCACUCCUUAAUUGGACUCUAUCCGUGGAUUCACUCCAAGGGCGACAAAAUGGGAAUAUUAGUGCUCCAGAAGUUCUAUAUAAAUAUUAUUAAUUUAAAAUUUUGACCGAACCAGUAGAUCCGACUGAUCAUCAGACCCCUCAUUAGAAGUUUUACACUGAGAUUCAUCAUGGGGACUUCUUUGCAGAUAUACUAGACAAAGUUUAUGUGGAUGGUAAUAUUGCUCAUUUUGGUUAUUGCCAUGCCAACGUACUAUCUUUGGUAGAAACCGUAUACACGCUCGAAAAGCUGGGCUACAUUGGAGAAUUCAAAUUCUUUCGAUGUACCAAAGGGAGUGAUUUUGACAAUGGUGUUCACCAGCUAAUUAAUGACAGCGAUGUUUUAGAAAUGGUUGCAAUUGCUUCUGAGCAAGCUUCUUUGGGAAUCUACGUGGAGCAUAUGAAAAGCGUUGAUGCUAUGUAGAUAUAUAACGGAUCAACUAUUUGGAGAAAGCCAAGAAAAACAUCCAAUGAUUAGAAGUGAGGGUUUAAACAACAAUAAUGUUGGAGGAACAAAAGAAGUGGUGAACCAAAUAGGUGUAGGCAACAAAGAAUCACAACUAUUUGGCAUGAAAGGUGUUCGAAUGAUGAAGGAGAGAGAAUAAGGGUUAUGGGGUGAUGACAAUGACGUGGCAAAUCUUGAAUGGAUGAGUGGGUAGCACUAGAGAUAGUGAUUUUGUAGCUCAUGGUCUUGUGGAUAGCGAAUGUGGCUUUACCGAUCACUCUUCAAUGCGCAAGUUGAUGCUGGUGUCAACAUGUCAAGUCAGGAAUGCGAAAUCAGUGGGGUUUUACAUGCUAAGACAAUGGACCAUCAAAUGAGUCUGACUAUGCACCUUGCAAUGAGCUGGAUAUAAUGGAAUCACCCUCUGCAGGUUAAUGGGGUUCAAAUGUCCUGAAUUUAGGGCUGAAAUAAAUUUGGUAUGAUAUUUUGAGCUGAAUACCAUACCAAGCUGAAUAUAGUGGCAUAAUACCAAGCUCAAAAUGUGGGUUUUGCAAACUCAGGAGCUUGGUAUGAUAUUUAGCCCUACAAAUGAGCUUACAAGUGCAGUUAGGGAGUAUAGCAUCAAUAAUAAGUUUAGUAUCAGAGUCAUUACUAAUGACAACAACAGGGUGAGAGCUGCUUGUAAGGAGAAACAUCCUUGCCUCAUUUUUUUGCAUCAUAGGUUCAAGAUGAUAAGACAAUGCAGGAGGUAUAAUCCUACGGGUACCUAUUGUAAAGAGUUUAGAAAUAGAUAUGUGACAUCCGAUUGGCUCAUAAGAAAAUGUGCAUAGAUUUAGAACUGAUCCUAAGCAGUUAUUAGAGCGCUUGCAAACCUAGAUCUCAAUGUUAAUGUGUCUAGAACAAGUACAGGGCAAGAAGAAAGGCCCUGCACUUAUCGACUGUAUUGAAAAAGUGCAAGUGUCUAUUGGAGUUGAUGUAGCUUAUUCAAUCAAAAUGAAUGGAAAUUAUAAAAGUUAGGGACCUAAUAGAAAAAAAGAAAAGUUAGGGACCAAAGUGAGAAAACUGAUGAAGGUAAGGGACCAGUGGUGCAAUUAACCCUUUAUCUUAUGGUUCUACUUCUUUAAAGCAUGCCCUGAAACUUAAUUCCAUGAAUUUUCUCUCCUGAUUUAUGGUCUUUUUGGAAGCUUGCAGGGGUUAAUCCCAUCUUUACAAGAGCUUGUACCAGAUUCCGAACAUAGGUUCUGUGUUCAGCAUCUUUAAUCUAAUUUUGAGACCACUCACAAGGGCAGUUACUAAAGGAUAUAUUAUAGGCUGCUACUAGGGCUACUAACACUUAGAAAUUUGAUAACUGGAUGAGGAUCAACAGAGCCAGACCUGAUGGCUUAUAAGUGGUUACCCGAGAAGCCACCACAGCAAUGGUUGAAAUCGCACUUUGUAGAAUUCCCCACAUGCGGUAUGCUAAUGAAUAGCAUGUGUGAGUGUUUCAACAGAUAAAUUCUUGAAGCUAGGAGAAACCAAUUCUCUCUAAGCCAAAUGCUGUCAACCUUAACUUGAUAAAUAGGUACAUCUGAAGAUAGAAGCAACUAUGAGAUUUAAGGGGAGGAUUUGUCCUAGGAUUCAAAUAAAAUUGUGGUUCAUUUAAUCUAAGGUCGCACAUGCAGAAGGUGGGGAUUAUCUUGAAUUCCAUGCGCUCAUGUAGUUUUAGCAAUGCUCCAUGAGAACUUGCAGCCUGAAACUAUGUAUGAGUGGAAUACAGUAGAAGCUCACAAAAAGAAUUGCGAGCACCUAAAUCCUAUUAAUGGUCAAAACAUGGACUAGGACUGGCCUAGAGCCUAUAUAACCACCAGUUUUUUCAUGGAAAAUCUGAAAGGCCAUAGAAAGCUUGAAAGAAGUUAGUUGCAAAGCAAGUUAACGCAGAAAGAUUAAGUAGGCAGCAGAUUAGGAUAACAUCUACUAAAUCUGUACAGAAAGGGCACAAGAAAGUCUUCUGUAACACUAGAGACCACACAACCAGACCAGCACUAAAAACAGAUUUACAUUGAUUUACUAAAAACAGAUUUACAUUGAUUUAGAGCAUAUCGACAUAUAGUAUUGGAACACACAAAGUAGAAAAUGAAAAGGGAAGUUGAAUAUGAAAAGAAAGUGUGGUUGAUGAAAGGAGUUGCUCUAGCAAAGCGCAAAAAGAACAAAGAGAGUGGAUCAUUUGAAUCACCCUUGUAAUUGUGCCUCAAGUUCUGCUACAGGGUACCAAAGAAACUACAGUUAGAAUCAUCAGCUCAAAUCACAACAAAUCCAGCACAACCAACAAACUUUAUUAGGAAUCGCAAUUACAAAACUCAAUCACACCACCUCCCAUUGGAACUCAGACUUCCAUUGCUCAUGCAAUGGCAAGAGGUAAGGUGAAGAGGGCUCCUAGCGAUGUAGGUCAGGGCAAAGGGUAAGGAAACGGGGCGAAACAAUCCAGGCACAGCAUCAUUAACAUUUGUUAUAUUCAUGGUCUUUCUCUCUUAGAAGAUUUGAAAGUAUUGGUCCCUGCACUUUGCACUUUGUUUGAUAAAACGUUCAUACAUACAACUACAUACGAAUAUAGCACUAUAACUACGAAUUCAAGGAAUUAAAAAAAAUUUAAAGAUACCAUUUAUAGUCAGCGACCCAAAUAGCAGCAGCUAUAGCAAUUUUAAUGGGUAAACACUACACUAUGCUGUUGAAAACAUACUAUAGCGUACUAGGAUCAUAGCGGCCGCUAUGGCGCCCACAGUGGCUGCUAUAGCGAGACCAUAGCAGCCACUAUGGUGAGACAAAAAAGCGGGCCCAUUUUAGACCUCAAUUUUCUAGAGAUUCAAUAGGUUGAUUACAUCCUAAAAUCAUUAAAAUCAUACGAGAUUGUCCAAAUAGAAGAACUAAGUUAUUGGUGGGUACCAAAGGAACUAUUCCAUCAUGUUUCUUAUUGGAAACAAGUGAAAAAAUCGUGAUUUUAUUUGUGUGGAGAGAAAAGCAACAUCGGACAACACAGGUUUAUUGGUGACCAUUAGGGAUCACCGCGAUUAUGAACGAUCACUAUGCUAAGUAAAAACACUGUUUGGAAUAUAAAUUUAGAGAAAUUGAAAGUGCUAUACUUCUAUAUUUGGAAGUUGGAACUAACAUGUAAGUCCUAUCAUUUCAAAUACAAAUGCAGUUGGGAAUUUAAGCAUUGAAAUAAUGUAUUAUGAAUCUCACUACAGGUUCAUAGCGGCAGCUAUAGCACCCUUAAUCCGCUAUCCACUUUGAUAUCCCCCAAACACUAAGUACCUACUAUCCGCCAUUUACAACUUUGUUUGUAGUCAUAAUGUCAUAGAGGUCAGACCAUAUCAGAUCAAUUUGCAAGAUUUAACAAGAAAUAUAGAAAUGAACCAAACACUCACAAUGUUAGCAACAUAGCAUCAAAUGGGAUUAAGCAUGGAUGUUAAUGCUCCAUAGCUACUGCAUAAACAUAAGAAAAGAGUCAAUGUAAACUUGUGUUGAAUUACCUAGUCAUCUACUGAAUGUGUAAUUUAGAAAUCUUGUAAUUUAGAAAUCUAUUAAUGCACAGCAUGAAAUGAUUUCUAAAAACCAAAUAAGAAGAAGAGGUGAAAACAAAAGAACCAAUGAUUAGUGAAGCAGAAUCAUCAACAAAGUACAAAGUAGAAAUACAGAAGACAGUGCAAAUCAAUCAAGGUACAACUUCAUAUCCUAGCACAAUGAAGACAACCAUUAAACUAGACAUUCUAUUAACGAAAAAAAUUUGAAAGUAAAGCAGCAUUGUAUUUACGUUUCUCCCUUCUCAAGCUUCUUAUAACAAGACAAAAACCUAACCAAACUAGAAAUCAAGAAGUAAAUUCCCAAACAGAGUUCAAUGCAAUUCCCAAACAGAGUUCAAUGCAAUAGAUAUUUAACUUGGUCUUUUGUCGUGAUUGUUGCACAAUUAUCAUUUCUAUGAUGGAGAACAAAGCUAAAUCUUGAGAUGAAGCACUUCUCAAAAACCUAGAAGAUCUCAUGAGUAAGCAAUAAAAGCCUUAAAACUUAUUGAAGAUACCUCAACUACAAACUCUACUAGCAACUAACAAUGUGCUAUCUGACAUCAUCUGAAAGGUGGUUUCUCAAAUCUACUCAGAGAGCCAUGGUUCUCGUGGCCAUGACAACUACUAUAACAGCUAUUCAUUCCAACUAGUUGGUCUACAUAUCGCAUAUGUCUAUGUUGCCUGCAAAGAUUGCUUGACACGUUAAAUUGAAUACAGUGGGGAACUCUCCUCCUCCAACAAUUUGAGUGAUGAAAAAGAAUGCGGUUUCCAAGCCUCUGUUUAAGACCAACUACUGAGCAGGAAAGGAUGUCAUGCUGGCCACAAGAUUUUCAGAAGAAAAAAGAUUGGUUGUGCAUUGCCAUUAUUGAAGGCUCUACAGCAACACCAUAUUUUAGAAAGGCACAUUAGGGCCCUACUCCCAUAUGCAGGCAUCUAAAUCUCUACAUCUGAAGAAGAAAUAAUACAACUAAUUUUAGUGAAAUUACAUUAGACAUUCAAUUUUUUGUUUCAAUGACAGAAUAUAAGGAUUGUCCAUGAAUUUAAUGAGCCACAUCGAACAAUUAAUCAAUCUAGGUCUAGAAAGGCAUUUGAAGCUUAAGAAAAAGAAUAAUUUCCUUUGAUGAUUUCUCCAAAAAGCUUAAGGAAAAAAAAAAAGGAUUUCCUUUGAUGAUAGCAAAAACCCUUGAAGACUAGAUUGCUAAAUGAGAGUAAAUAUCACCAAAACACGAACAAAGCAAAUAGCGGUCCAAAAGGGAAAUCAAGCAAGAGGUAAGUUCACAGCUUUCACAUUUAGCUAAUUAUCUGCUGCUAGUCUUAUGAAAAUCCAAAAUGACGCAUUGCCUACUAGUGAAAAUUAAGAAACAACAGUCAAUUGCUACCAAGUGCUGACAAUAGUUAAUGGUAUAUAACUUACUUAAUACAUUAAUGUCUAGGAUUAUUCCAAGUGUACGAAGGAAUAAGAUUCUACAAAACAUAUCAAAUGUGAUCUAAAUCUUUGUGUCACGAACGCAGGGGUAAAUAUUUUAUAAAAAAAAAGAAAAUAAUGCACCGAUAACCGACGCGCUCGGCUAAAAGGGGAAGGGCAUGUCUUUUUGGGUCAAAACCCAUUUAGUAAAAUAAAUAAAAAAAAUCUAAUUUAUAAAAAAAAAAUAACCAUAUUAAAAAGAUAAAAAUUUUUCCCAUCGUUCUCAUGACUCUCCACUGUUCCUCUCCAUAAGAGCCUCCAAAGGUAUUCUCUCUCUCCAUCUCUAUUUUGCAUUAGAAUUAUAAUUUUUUUGAAUUAGAUUUUUUUUUUUGCCAUUAAGAUUAUUUUUUAAUUAGGGUUAUGUUUUUUUAGAUAUUUUUCAAUUUUAAUCUAUUAUAAUGCGGACUAGAGACCUCAAUAUUUUAGUUGUUUUCUUCAACUUGUCAUUAACUAUUUUAUUUAUUUUACGCUAUUUUAAAAAAAAAAUCUCUUCAUAGGGUUAGGUCAGUAAAUGUGAUAGAGUAGGCGGGAGAAAUUGCUCAUUCAAAUGUCGCUUUUGUAGUAUGACUAAAAAUUUUCGAUCAAAGGAAUUAGAGGAUGUACACAAGUGACUCCACAAUAUCUUAACAAAUUUAAAAAAGAAAAUGAAGAAGCGAACUUUAGAGCAAAGAAUGCAAAAUCGAAAUCGGUACUGUUACCACCAUUUACUAGUCAAGUAGCCAAGGAGGAUCAUCAAGUGGUGUUAAUAUUGUUUCACUUAAUAGUUUUCAUCUGAAGAAAAGAAAGGGAAAUAGGGAUACGCCUUUGGAAAAGGCAAUUAAUUUACAAGCUAGUAAAUUAUUACAUACGAAAUAAUCUAGCUAGAAACCCUCACUACAUUAGUUCCUAUCUAUGUAUCACGGACACUUCUAUUAGCCUAGCGUGUCUGUGUCGGACACUGGCAUGUCCGAUGUGGACACUUCUUGGAAGCUCGUUUAAUGCCGAUCCAUAGAGCAAACAAUUAAAAAAAGUAUACAUAUUUUUAUUUUACUUUUUUUUUAUGCAUUAUAAAUGUAAGAUGAUAAAUAUUUUAGCUUUUUGAUGAAUGCAUACAAAUUUUUUUGACAAUAUAAAUAAAUUAUAUAUGGUGCGGAAUUUUUCUUCAAAUAUAUGAAUUAUCAAUAAAAAUUUUACUAACUUUCAUUCGUAUGAGAAAUAUAACAAUAUUUUACCAAAAUUAAUAUUUUGUAUAUAAUAAAUAUAUAUUAUUGUAUUUAAUAAUAUUAUAUUUUAUUAGGGGUGCCCAUGUCGUGUCCAUGUCCUAAUUUUUCUAAAGCUGCCAAAUCGUCGUGUCCAAGUCAUGUCAUGUCCUGUGCCAGUAUCCAUGACGCCUAGGUUCCUAUACAUACACGGUCAAUCAUAUGAUUAGUGGCUAUAUUUUUCACUGUGUUAAUAUGCUAAGAACUACUUUAUUUCAAAAGCAAAGAGCACAUGUAGAAAAUUUAUUAGAACCGAUUAAAGGAACAUGAAGCGAAAAAGAUAUAAAGUAUUGUUUGUGAUGGUUGGAGCAAUCCUGAAUGAAAACCAUUAAUUAAUUUCAUGGCCAUGACGAAGGAUGGUCCUAUAUUCUUAAAGGUAAUUCAUAAUGAAUGUGUGGAGAAAGAUAAGAAUCAUAUUCAAAUUUAAUUAAAAAGGUACUUUUGGAGGUUGGGACAUCAAAAAUAAUUUAAAUUAUAAUUGACAGCGCAUAUGUAUGUGGAAUGGCGGGGAGAAUUAUACAGCAACAAUUUCCUCAUAUACGGAGAAUAAUUAUAUUGCAUAUGAAGAAGGAUUAUGGAGAUAUAUGAUGACGUUACGGGUGUAAAGAAUUUUGUGAUGCGCCCCACUUCCUGGGGGUCAUCCAUCCUGAAAUUACUCUAGCCCUAGUCUCGCUCAACCCUCUUAACCUCUUGAACGUAGCCACCGCUACUAUAGCCGAGUGAAGAGUUUUAGCACUCUUACACCUUAUAUGUAGGACAAUUGCAAAUCCAAAGGGUGUGUCACAGUUAACCGGUUGGACCUAGCCACUGCCCAAAUGUUAUAGUCGGUGUUGCCGUGUCCAAGUCGUGUCCGCUGUUCUGUGCCUACAUCCGCGACGCAUAGAUCUAAAUCAUGGACAAAACAAUCGUAGGACAGUAUUAUCUCAACUAUAGUAGUAAUGUCCUCAAGGAUGCAUCUUUUAGAGUUGAAAUCCCUGAUGUUUGGUGCUUGUCGACUCUGCAGCCAUCAAGGGGAAAAGAGCAAGAAGAACAACAAAUAAAGAAAAAGUCCCCAAAAUAUAACUUGCAAAACGAGGGACACGUAAUUUGGAAUUACAGGAUGUUGAAUAAAGCUAUACAUCGGUAAAACAUGCACAAUUGGACAGAAAUUAAGCAUCUAAUUGGACAUCCAUUGAAGACGAUUAAUAAACGAUAACAGAUCGCGGUAAAAACACUCGUGGGUCCUUAAAAACCCUAAUAACUGGACGGACUCGACGGUGGAUUGAUUGAGUGGAAACCCUAUUUUUUGAAAGAGGAGGAAUCGGAAAGGAAGCGAAAGAAGAAAGAAAGAAAGAAUCAAUAUCAAUACAAAUACAAGUAUAGAGAGAAACAGAGAGGGGGAGGGUUGGUGAGCAGCACCUGCAUGCAAGUCUCGUCCCAGUCGUGGCCGAAGCGGAUGAUGACGAGGCGCUCCUCCUCCGCCAAGAUUGCCUGAUCCACUGCCCAUCCCGAGUGCAGGUGCGGAAGAAGGUACGACAUCUCUCCUCUCACUCUCUCUCUCUCUCUCUCUCUAGCGAAUCCCCUCUCGAGUCGCACAGGCUCCGAUUCCGUGUGAGGAGGCGACCGACGUAUAGACAGCCGAAACUUCUGGAUUUUUUCUUUUUCUUUUUUUAAUUUCCCUUCACCGUCACUAAUUUUUUAGAAUUAAACUUUAUUCUAAAGUUGAAACCAAAUGUCGUUCCUCCAUCGAACUACAUGAUCUGAAUAUUAAAUACAAUAUGCAUGAAUAUUAAAUACAACUAGCAACUAACCCAAUGCACAGAUUUUAAUUUUAUCUUUUAAUUACAUCUUUUAUAUAAUAUAUAAUAUUAAUUUUUAUAUAUUAAGUUUUUUUAAUAUCUUUUUAUGACAACUUUUAUAUAAUAUAUAUUAAUUUUUUGCAUAUUAAGUUUUUAUUAGAAAAAUUAUUGAAUCAAGUUAAAAUAAUACUAUCAUGAUAUACUAAUAGAAUGUAAGUAAAUAAUUUAAAAUAAAAAGAUUUUAAAAUGAAGAAGUAAAAAGGUUCAAAUCCAUUAGAAAUUUAACAUAAUUAUUAGUUAUAUAUUUUUUAAUACUCAAUAUUGAAAUGAUGAAGAAAAUUAAUCUUAUUUCAAAUUCUUAAUUUUUAUAUAUUAAGUUUUUCUAAUAUCUUUUUAUGACAACUUUUAUAUAAUAUAUAUUAAUUUUUACAUAUUAAGCUUUUAUUAUUAGAAAAAUUAUUGAAUCAAAUUAAAAUAAUACUAUCAUGAUAUACUAAUAGAAUGUAAGUAAAUAAUUUAAAAUAAAAAAUUUUAAAAAUAAGAAGGAAAAAGGUUCAAAUCCAUUAGAAAUUUAACAUAAUUAUUAUUUAUAUAUAAUUAAUCUUAUUUCAAAUUCUUUAUGACUAAUUUUGUAAACUUAUUUUUUGAAGAAUUUUAAGUGACUAAAUUUGGAAAGUAAUUUUUUAGAACUUGUGAAGCAUGAUUCAUAUUAUGAUUCCUUUAAACUAAAAAGUUCUUGUUAUUAUGAAUAAUUAGUCAUGUAUGUUUAUCAAUUAUUUUCAACAAAUUAAUCAAAAAUUUAAAUAUAAAUAUCAAACAUACCUCCCAAAAGUAAUUAUUGAAUAUUUCUUGGGAUAGGGGCAAAUAUUUAUGCGCUCUGAAAAUUUUAAUACUAUGACGAAAUCCAAAGUUAGUGGUAUGUAUCCUGAAAAAAAAAAGAGAAGAUAAUAUAUACAUUACAAACCGACCAAAUCAUUACACGUAAUUAUUUUCAAAUUUUGAAACAAACUUGCCUUUUGUAGAAAGAUGGUGCAUAAAGGUGGAAAAUAAGUCUGCCUCCAUCUAUCAUACAUAUGGAUGAUAACAUUAAUAAAAUAAUGACAUUCUUGUAAUACUACGUUAUGACGGAUAAAUUUGUAACGUUUAUGAUUUAACUGUGAAGAGUGAAUAUGCUCACAAUCAAAGAAAAGAAAAGAAAAUAACUGUUGUGCGGUUGAGAAAAAAAUAACUGUUUGUGUAUUUAGGAAAAAAAAAUAAUGUUUGUGCGGUUAAGAAAAAAUAAUGUUGUGCGUUUAGGAAAAAAAUAACUUGUCGUGGCGGUUAAGGAAAAACUGCUAUGCAGUUAUCUUUUGGGUACGUUGUCGUAUGAUCUCUUAUAAUUACUUAAUGAUAUGAUAAGAUAUAAACUAUAUAUAAUGAUUAUAUAUAUUAUAUAUAUAUAUAAUAUAUAUAUAUAUAUAUAUAUUUUAUAUAUUAUAAUAUAUAUAUAUAUAUAUUUGUGCGAAUUAAAAAUUAUUAUGAUAUAAAAUUAAAAAAAUAUAUAUUAUGAUAGUGCGCCCGUGGCAUCUUAUGGUUUCAUAUGAAUAAAAAUUAUAUAAAAUAUAUAAAUAUAUAAAUAUAUUAUAAAUUAUAUAUAUUAUAUUAUAUUUUUUAUUAAUAUAUAUAUAUUAUAUAUAUAUAUACAACAUUUAUAAUAUAUAUAUUAAAUAUAUAUAUAAUUAUAUAUAUAUAUAUGUGAACUAAAAAAUAUACUUAUAUUAUUUAAAAAAAAACUGCUGUGCAGUUAAUUUAUUAUGUACGUGUAGUUAUACUCUCUUAUAAUACUUAAUAAUUAUGAAUAUAUAAAAUAAUAUUAAUGAUAAAUAUAUAUAUAUAUAUAUAUAUAUAUAUAUAUAUUUGUGAACUAAAAAAUAUAUUAUGAUAAGUUAAAAAUAUAUAUAUAUAUAAUGAUAAGUGCGCCACGUGGCACAUUAGAAUUUUUCAUGUAAGUGCGCCACGUGGCAUCUUAUGGUUCAAUUGGAACCAUGCUUCUAAAAUUAGAUAUUUAUAACUCUAUAUGAAUCCCCAAUAAAUUGGUGACAUGGCAAACCCUCCUUUUUUUAUAUUUUUUAUAUUUUUUAAUGGUUGUUUAUUCUCUCUCUUUCCCUUCCCAACGCACGCCUCUUCAUCUUCUCUCCCCUAAUAUUUUGGACCCCUUCUCCUCUUCUCAACGUUCGACCUUUCAUCUCCCUCAAUCCCUUUUUUCCUCCUCUUGAUUGGAGUUGGGCAUCAUCUAAUUAACUUCUCUCUGCGGUGAGUGUCACACGUCUUUGCCUCCUUCGACGGCGUCGUAUCAGUGGCGAAGGUGGUGAACGUGAUGGCGGUAGAGACCAAGGCGUGGGGACGGUGGCAGAGGCAUAUGCAAUGGCGGUGGAGAUCGAGUUGGCGGCGGCAACAGCAGUGGCGAGUCUUGCCCUCGAAGACCAACAUCAAGUGAGAGAGUUCCUCUAUCUUUUCCUUUCUUCUUCUCUCUUUUUUCUUUUUUAAUCUAUUUUUAACCUAUUUUAUAGUAUUUUUGGGGAUUAUUUGGUGGUUUUUGUUUAAGGUGAGUUGGGUUUGCUUAAAAAUUCAAUUUCGUUAAAUGAAAAUAUGAAUUUCUUAGUUUUAAUAGAUGGUUUUGUAUAGAAAGUAUCUUAUUAUCUUAGAAUUUCCAUUCUUGCUGCCUAAUUAUGGAAAACCCCCAACUAUAUGCCAUUGCAUAAUGGUUCUUUCAACUAAAUUAUUUCUUGAUUGACACCCAUACUGUUUUUGCUUUUGUAGAUUUAAACUCUAUUCUGAAAUUUUUGUUCUGAAAAUUUGGAAUGAGUGGUUUUUGGCAUUAUUUAUAGCAUUUUCAUAAUUUACUAAAAAUUCAAGAUUACUAUUUUCAAUGUUUGUAAUGUAAUUAUGAAUAACGUGGUUCCAUUGUUGUGUAAUUAAUUUAAUUUUGUAAUGAAUACUCUGGUAGAGCAUUAAGUUUUAUAGCAUAAUAUUUUUCAGCUCUGACAGGGAAAAUUGCUGAUAUUAUCAAUGUAGCUACUUUUCUAAUUUAGUGCUUCUUAAAAUAGUUUCUUGAUCUGAUUUGACCUAAUAUAUUGCAAAUUUGCAAUAGAUUAGUGAAGAAGAGAUUACCUUUUUGAUGAAAGGAGAAGAUCCUUAUGAUGAUGCUGUUGUACUAAAAGUCUUCUAUCCAGAUAUUAAGUUGCUGCUGGUAAUAGAGGGGCCAGAUGGUAUGUAUUUGUUUAUACAAUUCUCAAAGCUCUUUGUUAUCAUUGUCUAAUUUCUGCUGAUGUUGUUUCUCUGGUACAAAACGAAAUAGAUAUAUGACUAAUGACUUUUCUUUAUUGAGGAUGACAACAAAAAGAAUUUUGAAGAAAAUUAAAACUGUAAUUUUAAAUGACAUAGCUAUCCAUGAAUCUCAUGUCCUCUUCUUUUGCUGUAUUUAGUUUUUACAACUUUGCCACCAGUAAUUAUCAUUUUACAUUUCAAUAAUAAAGUUGCAGUUAUUAUUAAAUGUCCAAACAUCCUGUUAUAUGUGAGAAUAUGAUCAAACUAAUUACAAAAGCUGCAAGUAUCCACCUUAACAUAUAUAAUUUCAAAUAAUAUAGGAAUUUAGUGGUAAAGUAAGUGGACUAAAGGUGACUGUUGUGGACAUUACUGAUGCUCAAGAUGCCUUCAUUGCUGGAAUACUAUUUGGAUUGGCCUCAGUUUUUUCAGUUGCUUAGAGUAUUACUCUUUUUAACCUAUCAUUGCACUAAAAUUUAUUUUCAUAUUAUGUGGAUGUUCUACAUUUUUGUUUCAUUUUUUCUUUUUUUUUUUAGCAUAUAGUUCAUUGCAUAUAGCAAGUUAGAUAUCGAUAUAUUCUAAACUCUAGCAACCGUGUUUUUAAUGAUUUCUUUAUCUAAUUAAAACUGAAGGAUAAAUAGAUUUAAUAGCUAAAUUGAAGGAUAAAUAAAUUUAAAAACUAGACAAGGAAAAAAAAUGUAAAGAAAAGUGAAAACUAAAAGAACAUUUCAUACUAUAUUUCUAGAUAUAUAAGAAAAAGCUUUAUAUUUAACUUAUAAUUGAUGGUGGCCAAAUCUGAACCUUACAUAUAAAAAUUCUUUGUUCCUGCUACUUGCUCAUCUUUUCUACUGCUACUUCUGCCUACAAUUCCUUCUUUUUCUUUCUUUCUUUCUUAUUCUACUAUUAUUAGUGUUGGUUUUUAUAGUCUUCUAUUAUCUCCUAUUUAUUUUUCUACUUUUGCUUUUGGUGAUACUAUUAUUAAUGAGUGGUGAUGAUGGAAAAGUAAAAUAAAUAAGACAAAAGUGUGGCGCGGGGCAGAAGUGUUGCAAGGGGAAGUGCGUCGAUGUUUUGUGGGACACGAGGAAAUGCGGCACAUGCGGGCGCAUGUGCUGGUUCGGGCAACUGUGCGGUAGCGGCAUGUGUGUGGCGAUAGCCUAUGACCUUGACCACUGCGGCAGAUGCCACAACAAUUGCACCCCCAGCAUGCGGUGCCAACAGGCAGUAUAUUUCGAUUCGAGGAGGAGAUAAAAUGAAACUAUAAUACAAUUUUUAGUCAAAAUUUUAGAGUUUGGUUACAUUUAUGUGUAAGCCUCUUUCUAUAAUUAUUGAAGAAUGGUGUUAUUUGGGAACCAUAAUAGAAGUUUUCAGUCAAAGUUUUAUGAUCUUUUUAAAAAUUUAUAUAAGCUUCUAGCUAUAAUUUUAUUUUUUUAAACGAUUGAGUUUAAUCAUGCAGAUUGGCUAUGCUUAACUUAACACGGUAUAGCUUCCUAUGCAUCAAUAAAUUAUAAAUAUAAAUUUUAUUAAAAUUUUGCUUUUAUUAUCUACCCGUUGCAUCGCGCGGAUCUCUAUACUAGUAUAUAUAUAAUGUGCCACAUGUCUCUCUCUCCCUCACAUGCUCUUUCUGUACAUGAACCAAAACAAUUCAUAUCACACAGAAUAUUGCCAUGUACUAUUGCUAUCUUGCUAAUCAUUAGGGUGCAUGAUUCCACCUCCCAGCUUUUCUAUAUAUCUAGCAUUGUUCACUAUCAAAUAAGCGUAUGAAUGUGUAUAUUUGUCUCUGCUUAUUUGUUCCUCCCAGCUUUAUUAGUAGUACUAGAGCAUAUUCUCGACCUUGCUAUAUUUGUUUUGGAAUUAUUUAGAAUACAUAUCUUCUAUUACUGUUAGGUGAGGUAAAACUAUGUUGCUUUAAACUCCAAAACAAAUAAUAUAAAUUUAACAGUAAACAAUUUUUUUGUAUAUACCUUGAUAGUAUAGGAAUACGAAACAAAUAAUAUAACUUUAACAUUAAACAGAUUGUUUUUUCCAGCAUACUGGAACAAUAACCUUACAUAAACGCUAUACUAGAGCUUAAACCAAAUGUCGUCCCUCCAUCGAGCUACGUGAUCUUUCUUUUAUAUGGUUUUCUCUCUCUCCCUCACAUGUUCUCCCUCCCUUUACAUAAAAUAUAUGGUGCAUGGUGGGAAAAAAUAUAGUACAGAGGAUAUUGCAUUGUACUUUUGCUAUCUAUGUAAUCACGUGGGUUCAUACAUCCUCCCCACACCCGAGCAUUUUCUAUAUAUAUGCUGUUAACUACCAAACAUGUGGAUAAAUGUUAAUAUUUGUCUCUAUUUACUUGUCUUCCAGCAUCAAUAGUGUUAGAGCAUCUUCUCCAGCUUCCUAUAUAUAUAAACGUCUAGCUUCUAACAUAGUUAUUGGGCUCACCCAUUUACUUCCUUAAGGAGUAAGAAUUUCCUUUGGCUGUAUCUACAGAUACAGCCAGUUAUAUUCAUAUGUUUGUUUUCUGUUUGUUUUAGAAUUAUUUGGGUUACAUAUCUGCUACUUUCCUAAGGUAGGGUAAAACUAUAUUCGUCUUUUUUUUUUUCGAUCCUAUCUUUCUUGAGCAUGUAUACAUGCAGGUUCUUUACUAGCUAAUUAUUUACCUCUUCUAGGCAUCUUUAUUUUAAUUUGGCUAAAUUAAAGAUCAAGUUCUAACAAUUUCAUACUAAGUUUCCUUACCUUACCGUGCUUUUUAUAUUUCGUUAGUUCUUUAUGGAAUGAUAACAUAAAUUGUUAAAAAGUAAAUAAUUAAAUGGCUUAUUUGUUUUAAGGAUAUGUUGGUGAUGUUGGGUUCCUUACUUUUUUUAUUAAUGGUGGACAUAUAUAGAGAUUUGUUUCAAUACUUAAAUUUUUAAUCUACGGCUACUGAGCAAUGUAUGUAAAGAUGUUAGAAAGUUUCUCUAGACAAUAGCAUUGGAGGGCUGGGAUUAAAAAAACUAAUACAUUAAUUAUGCUAGAUUCAGAACACAUGCCUUAUUUUUUAUCAUACAUUAAUUAUUCUGCAUUUGGUCAUUCUAUGCCUAACUUAAAAGUGGUUAUCUCAUCUUUUUCAUAUCAUUCUUGAACGUUUAAAGGAUAAUGGCGGCCCUACCAGUAUCAUAUAAGCAAUUGUUCACCGACAUACUUGGAGUUCUUGCCCUUCUUCUUCCUAAUUACGGCGCAAUGUUCGGUUCUGAUGGCUUGUAUGUGGGAUGUGCUGAAAUAAAAGUUGAAAAUAUUGAUGGAACUGAAGAGGUUUUUAAGUGGUUUGGUCAGAAAUGCAUUAAUGUUGAGUUAGCAGAGUAGAAAGCCGCUCAUGAAGCAAUUAUAUGCUUGAAGAAAGCACUUAAUUUCAAUGUUGCUGAUAUUAACUAUGAUGACUUAAUGGUUUAUAAAUCUUUAUACGAACAGCUGUGUGCCAACCACAACCAACUCCAGUUCGACGACUAUUUUCUAAAAGAAUGUUACAGCUAUACUCUCUGUGAGGUUGGGCGCCUUCAAAAUGAGAAUACGUGGCUCGGACAACAAGCCGACCACGCUGCAGAGUUGCUGUGGCCCACUACAAUUAAUAAUCAUCGUGGCAAUAUGUCAGAGGAUGGGAGUUCGGGUGUUUAGAAUUACUGAUAAUCUUUUAAGUCUCAUAGUCUGUCUGUUUAAUAUUAUGUCAUGGUCUUUGUUGUUUUAUGUUCUGCAACUUCCUUCCUUUGUUGUGCAGUGCCGUGAUAGUCUGUCUGUUUAAUAUGAUGUCAUGGUCUUUAUUGUUUUAUGUUCUGCAAUUUUCUUCCUUUGCUUUGCAGUACUGUAAAGAUAUGUUGAUUUCCCUCUGACGCUUUAAGUAUGAUGUUUUCUGAAAUUUCUAAUAUUGACUUCCUAUGUUAUACAAUAUUAACUGCUCUUCGUCUAACAAUUUGGCACAAAAAAAAACAAUUUCUAACUCUUGAUCUAAGAACUGUUUUAUCAAUUAUAUUUGUAUUAAUCUAUAUUAUAUAUUUAGUUAUCUUACAUAAUGUGGAUGUUAUAUAUAUAUAUAUAUAUAUAUAUAUAUAUAUAUAUAUAUAUGUAUGUAUGUUUCGUAUAAUAAUAUAAUGAAAGUUUAUUAUUAACUCUCAGUAACGUAGACCCCGGCCGCGAAGGCGGGGUCAUUACACUUAGAUAAUAUAUACGAACCGGCACGCGAGCGCGAGCGGGGCGCUCGGCGUUCAAGCGUGGGCCCGGCCGGCUCAGCGUAGAGCGCUGGGGCGAAGGCGGGUCGUGGCCGGCAGCCAGAGAGUGAGGGAGUUUUUUUUUUUCUUGACUCUUCUUUUCUUUAUUUUUUCUCUCCUCAUAUUUGGAGAAAAAAGAUGUUAUUAUUUUUUAAAAAUCUACUCUAAUUUUUAUUUUAUUACAAAAAUUUAAAAUAUAAAAUAAUUUUUAAUCACUUUAAAUUAUUUUGUAUUAAUAAUAAAUUUUAAUUUUAAUAUUAAAUAUUUAGAUAUAUAUUUGUAUAUUAAAAAAAAAAAAACAGAUUGAUGAAGGUUUAAGUUAUAUUUACCAUCGACAUGAAUCAUAAUUUAAUCGUAUUUAAAAAAUUGGAUAUCAAACAUAAAAUUGGAAAGCCGCUCGGCAGCGAAUGCUUAUAGGUAACCGUGGCCAGUGCUGUAAGCCCGGCCCAAGCCUGGCGGCCGGGCGGCUCACGUCGCCCGGUCGUUUUAUCAUCCCUAUCACACGGGUCCUUCACUAGUAAUAAAAUAAAAUAAGGUUAAGAGCCCCUUUGAAAUUUUGGAUAUUCUAUAUAAAAAGUUUAAUCAAAUUAAUAUAUUUAAAUUAUUAUUUAUUGCUUAAAUAAUAAAAUAAUUUAUUUAUUUAUUAUUUAUAAUUAAAUAUGUAUUUAUCCAUAAACUAAUAUUUAUAUUAGGCCAAUUUGCAUAAAAAAUCCACUAAUUUUGCGCUUUUGCAAAAGUUGGCCACUUUUUUCGAUUUUGGAGAUUCGGGCCGAAUUUUCAGUCACCAGACCAAAAUGCCCCUCGUCUACAUCUGCCGCCCGCGCAUUCCUUGAGAUACGUAUACCCUAAUGUAUGGUUCUAGCGGGCAUUAAAUGCGCCCCUUGUGUUUUAUGUAACCUCGCUCUUAUCGGAACCAGGACCAAAUCGACCCCGCUAUUCGCUAGCCUCGGUAUUUGCUGUUCGGCUUUGAGAAAUUAAAUUUACUGAAGCUAAAUGACAAGAAUUACGCGGCCCGCAACAGGAAUAAUAUGUAGUAUCCUUUCUUUAUAUAUAUAUAUAUAUAUAUAUAUAUAUAUAUUAGUACCUAGACUAAGUGUGCAUGGCUAUGGAUGCCACGUGCACUCCCCCAUGCAUGCUUAUCUGGUUGAGGGUGGCUCUAAUUAAUUUAGUUUUUGCUUUCUCUCUUUAGUGUGAAGUAGAGAACCACACGAGGUGGAGCUUGGGGGAGUAGCCGUGGAUCUCGGAUUCAACGUCGACAUCGCGCCGCGGAGCCGUUCGAGGAUACGGUUGCAGUCGUAGCAUCGCGAGGAGUCCGGGCGAGGGCGUGGUUUCGCCGUUCUCGACGUCGCCCCGCGUUGGAUUUAGCAUACGAGGUGGGUUUAUCAUCGGAAUCCUACUCCUAUAAUAUUGUUCAUCGACAUGUAUCGUUAAUAUUACAAGUUGUUAUUGUUUGUUUAGCUCAAAUUCAUAAGUAGGUAUGUUUUAGACAUAUAAACUGAAUUGGGAGCAUGUUAUUAGUUGUUAUUAAUCAUACAUGUGGGACUUGGAUAAAACAUAGGAGAAAAUCAGCGUUCGGAAUCUGGCAUAUGUUGAAUUACCUGAUUUAGCCUUAGGGGCCGUUGUAUUUUUAUACAGUUAUUGUAUUCGGGUUGUGAGUACCCCAGGUAGUUUAGAAGGCAUUUACGCUCGUGCUGAGAUGCCGAGCUUAUUUUUCAGCAGAGUUUAGGCUGUUUCGGGUCGUUGGGUGCCGUUCGGGUUAGCGGUGGACCCAGAUUCUUGUUUUGGUCACAGAUUGUGCCGAGGGCACGUGGGUUUGGUUUGUAGACCUGUUUUGACCCUGUUUACUUGACUUUGGCUAGUUGGAGCCUGUUUGAGCUCGACAGAGAUACGCUGCAUACUCGGUUGGGUAGCGCCCACGAGUGCCACUCCGGAGUCAGGCUUUGUGCUUUCGCGUUGGUGUCGCUCAUGCCAGUUGGACUUGCUCUCCACGGACCAGUUAGUGUGGAUAGAGCUUGACAGUCACAACGGGGCAGGGACGGGUGUAUUCACAGUCCCGGGGACGGGUAUGCUUACAGUCCCGAUUGGAUUGGGUCAGGUUGGACAUUUCCUACAGUUGGUUAGUGUAGAGCAUGAUAGUGUAGUAUUUGAUAGCGGUAGACUUUAUUCCUGCAUUUCACUACUAUUCUUGCUCCCUUCUGUAGACUUAGUGGGUAGACCGAUGUUGUUUUGGGCGGUACCCACUGAGGACUACUUGUUUUUACAGUAGUUCUCACGCCCAGUUGUUACCUAUGUUUUUGCAGAGCCACAGGUUCCGGCUGCUGCACCGUCCGCGGAUCAGGAUCGAGGCAAGGGCGUUGCGAGUUAGAGCCCUACCCGACGUGCUGAGCUAGAGGUGCUCCUACUGCAGGUAGAUGUUUUGUUUCGAGUUUAUGUACAUAGUGGACUUAACUCGCCAGUGCGAGUAGCUUUGUAUUUUGGAUCUGGACUAUGUAUAUGAAACUCAGUUUGUUUAGCUUCUGUUCUCUCCAGCAGCUCUCUACUACUGUUCGUGGUAGUGUUUGAUUUUCUGGUACAGCUAUCGCUUCGUAUACAGGGAAAAUUCCUUUGUAUACGGCGGAUUUGUCGGCGCGCCCGGGGAAAGUGUAAUCCGGGGCGUGACAGAUUAAUUUGGUAUCAGAGCUUAGCUAUAGGUCGUUGGGACCUAGAAAACCUAAGUUUGGCGAACCUUAGGAAAGCAAGACGCGAGAGGCGGAAUUUAUUGCGAAAGUCAAUGAUUAUUUGUUCUAACUCCUCCUAGAGUGGAGUGAGUGACUGAAGGAGUUCCUGUUUUGGCCUGAGAAAUUAUGUUGGCUGCAGACGACAUAAUUUUGGAGGGAAACAGGGACCGCCUUCUAGACUUUCGUUGAUUGGGUCGAUAGUGUUGUGUUGUAUCUGACCCCGAUUUGUUCUUUUCAGCUAUGUAUCGUCGCCGAGGUCGACCGUCGUUGCGGGAGCGUGCCCAGUUGGCGCGGGAUCGUGUGGGAUCUCCCGAGAUGCCUGAGCAGGCAGAGGCGAGUGCACCCCCAGUUGUAGAGCAGAGGGCCCGACCGGAGGCGAGUGCAUCCCCAGAUUUGAGUGCACAGUUGGCUGCCCUGACUGAGGUGACGAGACAGCAGGGGGAGCUAUUGCAGAGGUUGUGUGAGAGGAUAGCUCAGCCACCGAGUUCUGUACCGAGGGCACCAGAGUCGCCAGUUCCACCCCCGACUACUCCAGUGACAGCACCAGCUGCAGCAGUUCCUCCAUCGGCAGCAGUUCCAGUAGCGCCAGUUGCGCCUGCUAGGGGGCCAGUACCGUUGACUGAGGCUGAGCAGGAGCGGUGGACGGAGAGGUUAGCUCGUUUUCGCCGAUUUGAUCCACCGAUCUUCGAUGGCAGAGGCACUGAGGCCUGGAUUGUUGAGGGAUGGGUCAGUGCGAUGGAGAAGUUAUUCGAGGAUCUGUUCGUUCCAGAGGGGGAGCAGGUACCCCUGGGAGUACACUGUCUAGCAGGUGAUGCUCAUGACUGGUGGCGGAGAACGAGGCGAGACCAGGGGCUAGUGGCGGCGCAGCUGAGUUGGGAUGAGUUCUGUGGAAUGCUGUUUGGGAUGUUCUUUCCCAACAGUGUGAAGCAGAAGCUCGAGGAGGAUUUGAGGAGGCUUCAGCAGGGAGAUCGCCCAGUGCAGGAGUACGUUCGGGAGUUUACUCGACUCCUGAACUGUGUACCAUUUGCGGCCAGAGACGAGGCGCACAGAGUAUACAUGUUCGAGCAGGGGCUGAGACCGGACAUCUUCAGGUUAGUGCGGGCGCAGAGGUCGAGGACCCUGGAUGCGUCCAUAGAGCAGGCCCUAUGGGUGGAGAGAGGUGAGGUGUCGCUGCAGGAGAGGACUCAGGCCGUGGGGCAGGGUCAGGACAGGAAGCGCCCCUUUCCAGAUGACGGAGGGCAGUCGAGCAGCAGACGUCCGCCGAGACCUCCACGAUCACGUUCUCAGGGUCGUGGGUCUUCGGGGCGUCAGCGUUCCAGGGGAUCCCGUCAGCAGGGGCAGACUCAGAGGACGCCACAGUGUGUGAUCUGCGGGGGACCACACUGGCCUCGGCAGUGCGAGCAGAGAGAGGGCAGGUGCUACGGAUGUGGUCAGCCGGGACACAUGAGGGCAGCUUGUCCCCGAGCAGCAUCUCCAGCACCGUCAUCAGCUUCGGCACCACCAGCACCACAGCAGUCUUACGGAGCAGCACCGAGCUACCGCCAGGAGGACAGAUCGUCUGUGCCGCGGUCGAGUGAGCGGCGACAGCAGGCUCCGAGUGGCAGGGUCUAUGCAGCUCAGGUGGAGGACUCUUCAGCAGCCGACCGAGUGGUGGCAGGUAUCACUUUGAUUUCUGGCAUUAGAGUUCGCACUCUUUUUGAUACCGGUGCAUCGCAUUCCUUUGUUAGCCGAGCAUUUGCAUUGUUGCAUGGUCUAGAGUUAGGAGCGUUGUCUCAGGCACGAGAGGUGCAGAUCCCCGACCAUGUCUUGCAGGUUACAGAGUGUUGUUGGUCCUGUCCGGUGCAGUUAGACUCUUGGAUCAUGCCCGCAGACCUGUUGGUGUUAGGGCAGCUGCAGGACUUCGACGUAGUGCUCGGUAUGGAUUGGCUGGCGCGGUACUAUGCUACGAUCGACUGUGGAGCGAGGACGGUGACGUUCCGCGAGCCAGGCCAGGAGGAGUUUACUUUCAGAGGCUGCAGGAGCACGCUGUUUGCCACCUGGAUAUCUUCGGCGAGGGCUCGACAGAUGCUGAGCAGUGGGUGUAUCGCUUUCCUAGCGACAGUUGUGGAGGUACCUACGGCGGCGCCGAGACUCGAGGACAUCCCAGUAGUCCGCGAGUUUUCGGAUGUGUUUCCCCCUGAGUUGACGACAUUGCCGCCGGAGAGGGAGAUUGAGUUUGUGAUUGAUGUAGUUCCUGGAACUGCACCAAUCUCAAAGGUACCUUACAGGAUGGCACCGGCAGAGCUGAGAGAGCUAAAGGCGCAACUUCAGGAUCUGAUGGAUAGAGGGUUUGUGAGACCCAGUGUGUCGCCUUGGGGAGCGCCGGUGUUAUUUGUAAAGAAGAAGGAUGGUUCGCUCAGGUUAUGUGUGGAUUACCGGGAGCUGAAUAAAGUGACCAUCAAGAACAAGUAUCCUCUGCCGCGCAUUGAUGAUCUAUUCGAUCAGCUGCAAGGAUCUUGUGUCUUUUCGAAGAUUGAUCUCCAGUCAGGUUACCACCAGCUGAGGGUGAGGGCCGAGGAUGUUCCCAAGACGGCUUUUCGGACUCGGUACGGGCAUUAUGAGUUCACGGUGAUGCCUUUUGGAUUGACGAAUGCCCCUGCCGCAUUCAUGGAUUUGAUGAACAGAGUGUUCAAGCCGUUCUUGGAUAGGUUUGUGGUAGUCUUCAUCGACGAUAUCCUGAUUUACUCCCGGAGUGAUGCUGAGCAUGAGGAGCACUUGAGGAUUGUGCUACAGCUUCUGCGCGAGAAGAAGUUGUAUGCCAAGUUAAAGAAGUGCGAGUUCUGGCUACGGGAGGUUGCUUUCUUGGGCCACGUGAUUUCAGCUGAGGGCGUAGCAGUGGACCCGAAGAAGAUUGAGGCGAUUCGAGAUUGGCCUAGACCGACGACGGUUACUGAGGUACGGAGCUUCCUGGGACUGGCAGGAUAUUACCGUCGGUUUGUGGAAGGCUUUGCGAAGCUUUCCACACCCCUCACACGCUUGACGCGGAAGGGGAUUCGUUUUGUCUGGAGCGACGACUGUCAGAGGAGCUUUGACGAGUUGAGAUUGAGGUUGAUGUCGGCUCCUAUCCUUGCCCUUCCUGUUAUGGGCGAAGGAUUUGUGAUCUACAGUGAUGCAUCGCACAGUGGACUUGGUUGCGUGCUGAUGCAGCAUGGUAGGGUGAUUGCUUAUGCUUCACGGCAGUUAAAGGAUUAUGAGAAGAAUUACCCUACGCAUGACUUGGAGCUUGCCGCGGUGGUUUUUGCUUUGAAGCUCUGGCGGCAUUACUUGUACGGCGAGCACUGCGAGAUUUUUACUGAUCAUAAAAGUCUCAAGUAUCUGUUCACCCAAAAGGAGUUGAAUUUGAGACAGCGCCGGUGGUUGGAGUUGCUGAAGGAUUAUGACAUCAGUAUCCAGUAUCAUCCCGGCAAGGCGAAUGUGGUGGCAGAUGCGUUGAGCAGGAAGGCAGUGCAGAGCUUGAGUAUGUUGAUCACUCGGCAGAGACCGUUACUCGAGGAGCUGAGACGGCUGGGACUCGAGGUAGUGUCCCCUGGAUUUACUGCGAGAUUGAUGUCUAUGAUCUUGCAGCCCACUCUGUUAGAUAGGAUUCGAGAGAAACAGAGUGGGGAUCCACACUUGUCGAGGAUUCGAGAGCAGCUUGAGAGGGGACAGGCCGAGGGCUUUGUUGUGGACAGUUCGGGAGUACUGCGGUACAGGGACCGACUGUGUGUACCUAUGGAUUCAGAGAUCCGAGAGGACAUCUUGAGAGAGGCUCACUGUUCACCUUAUACGGUUCACCCCGGUGGAACCAAAAUGUAUAAGGAUUUAAAGGCUCAGUUUUGGUGGAAUGGAAUGAAGAGGGACAUUGGUAGAUUUGUGGCUCAGUGUCUGACUUGUCAACAGGUAAAGGCCGAGCAUCAGGUACCUGCUGGCAAGCUUCAGAGUCUACCAGUGCCCGAGUGGAAAUGGGAGCAGAUCACGAUGGACUUUGUCGUCGGAUUGCCGAGAGCACAGGGUGGUUUUGAUGCGAUUUGGGUGAUAGUGGACAGACUGACCAAGUCUGCUCACUUCUUACCAGUGCAGACCACUUGGUCCAGAGAGAGACUCGCUCAGUUGUACUUGGAUGAGAUAGUGAGGUUGCAUGGCGUGCCCACUUCGAUAGUAUCCGACCGGGACCCGAGGUUCGUAUCGCACUUCUGGAGGAGUCUUCAGACGGCCUUGGGCACUCAGUUGCAGUUCAGCACAGCAUUUCACCCACAGACAGAUGGUCAGUCAGAGCGGACCAUUCAGACUCUAGAGGACAUGCUGAGGGCAUGUGUCUUGGACUUUGGAGGAGGGUGGUAUCGGCAUUUGAGACUGGUUGAGUUUGCGUACAACAACAGCUAUCAAGCGAGCAUCCGGAUGGCUCCGUUUGAGGCGUUGUAUGGACGCAGAUGUCGAUCCCCUUUGUUUUGGAGUGAUGUGGGUGAGAGGAGGACGCUUGGGCCUGAGAUUCUGAUUGAGGCUGAGGAAAAGGUAAAAGAGGCGCGACGGCACAUAUUAGCAGCCCAGAGUCGACAGAGGAGCUAUGCUGAUACCCGGAGACGAGACUUGGAGUUCCAGGUGGGAGAUCAUGUUUUUCUUAAAGUCUCGCCGUCCAGAGGGAUUCGCCGAUUUGGUGUACGUGGAAAGCUCAGUCCACGUUUUGUAGGCCCUUUCGAGGUAUUGGAGCGAGUCGGGCCAGUUGCUUACAGGAUUGCUCUACCACCACGGCUAGCCGGCAUUCAUGAUGUGUUCCACGUCUCGGCUUUGAGGAAAUAUGUGUUCGACCCCUCCCACGUGAUCGACUUCACUCCGCUUGAGAUUGGCGAGGACCUGAGCUACGAGGAGCGACCGGUGCGGAUUCUGGCUCGUGAGUCGAGGGAAUUGCGCAACCGGGUCAUACCCUUUGUAAAGGUGCAGUGGAGUAAUCACGAGGAGCGGGAGGCGACUUGGGAGCCGGAGGCGGUGAUGAAGGAGUCCUACCCCUACCUGUUUGAGGCCCUGGAUUGAGGUAUGUGUACAGUUUCGCGGACGAAACUUUUUGUAGUGGGGGAGGAUGUAGUGUUCCUGAGCUUUGGAUAGGAUUGGCUUCAGUAUUAUAGACUGGUCGACAUCUCUGGAGAGUGUCGGACUGAGUCGGAGUCAAUUCUGCACGAAUUGGAUGCAGAAUUGGACUCGGCGCACUCAAAUAAGCAAAACUGGAGUUUUGCCAGAUUCGGGCGCCCAGAACAUUGUUAGGGUCGCCCAGAAACGAGUGUUGAAUUUAACUGAAACUGGAAGCCAAUUCGGAUCCCAUGUUCCGGGCGCCCAGAAGUGGGUCCGGAAAUUUCACCUCGUGAAUAUCGCUUGCUUCGACGCGUGGCAGGGCGGUAGGUGAGUUCCGCCGGUGCCGUUUACGGGCGCAGCACACCGCGGGCGGAGAGUCCGAGGGGCCCAUUUUGUGCAGGCCGGAUGUUCUGGUCGCCCAGAACAUGGUUCCGGGCGCCCAGAAACGCCCGUUUCUGCAGGGGCACUGGAUUGCGGCUAUUUUUCCUGGGGCUUAUCUGAUCUAUCCAGCAGCCUAUAAAUAGCUGAGAAGCGCCCCCUUUGAGCUCUUUUACCUGUUCUUCACAGAGGACUUAGAUUUUACUCCCAAAUCCCUCAAAUCUUUCCAAUUUGCAUCAAGAUCCACCUCUCCAAGAAUUGCAAGGUGCUGAUUUUGCAGUUCUUCAGCGACGACCUCCAGUGUUUUGGCUCGUGCGUGACGUAGGAAGGUCGGAUUUCAACGAAACUUGGUUUGCUGGAUUCUUGACUUCCAGAGGAAUCCACGAAGCCCUAAUUUGCAGAAUUUGGUGAAGGUUAGCUCAGUCGAACUCAGGUUUUCCUCUGCUGUUGUUGCUUUGGACAGAAUUUGCCAAUUUUUGAUGUUUUCUUGGGGUGAACUUGGGAAGCAGGGGCUUUGUGGAGUUGAGUUAUUUUCCCUAUCACCCAGUACUGGAAUUGGGACCCUCUCCACCUGAUUUGGAGUUCGUUUGGUGAGUUUUGACAUUGGAAUUGAGAUAUUUAAGCUUAAAUGCUGUUUUGCUGAAAUUCAUCGUCGACUGUUAGUAUUUCAGCUCGUACUCGACGUAGGAGCAUCGGAUUUCGUCGAGACUUGAUUCGUUGGUUUCGGGACUGCGAGAAGAAUCCACGAAGUCCUUACUUGUGGAUUUUGGUGAAGGUUAGCUUGGUCGAAACCCUUCUCUUCUCUGCUGCUGUGUACUUGGACUGAAUUGUGGAUUUUGAUGAUUUUUAUUGGAUUUUUGGGUGCAUUGUAAAUCCAGAUCUUAAGGGGCUUUGUUGCUGGUUUGAAGAGGUUUCCAGCAGUGUUGCUUGAGGAUCCGAGACCCUAUUGCUGCCAGGAAUUGCAUUAGAGGUGGGUGUUUCAUCGGUUUCGCUCCUAAGUGCAUGUUAGUCAACGUGUAUAGUUCGAGUGUUGUAAAUCAUGCUUUAAUUCAUCGAUUAGCAUUUUGAAUGUAAUAUGAAUGUAGAAGCAUGCUGAAAUGAAUAUUUAAAUUAUACAUGUUGGACUUGAAAUUUGACUUAGGAGAAAACCUGCGUUUUGACCCGUCAUAUGCUUAAACUACCAGAUUUAGCUCUAGGAGCCGUGUUCGAUUGUAUCGUUGCCGAGUCAGUGCAAUGGAUACCUUGGGUAGUUUAGAAUGUAUUUACACUCGUGCUGGUUCGCCGAGUGAAUUUUUGCAGGGUCGUUCAGGCCGUUUCGGACUGUUGGGUGCCGUCAGAGUUGACGGUGGACCGUAUCGCCUUUUUGGCGUCAGAUUGUGCCGAGGGCACGUUACCUGUUGGUUGUUAGACCAGUUUAAGUCGAUUACUUGACUUUGGCUAGUUGGAGCCUGAUUGAGCUCGACAGAGAUACGCUGCAUACUCGGUUGGGUAGCGCCCACGAGUGCCACUCCGGAGUCAGGCUUUGUGCUUUCGCGUUGGUGUCGCUCAUGCCAGUUGGACUUGCUCUCCACGGACCAGUUAGUGUGGAUAGAGCCCGAUAGUCGCAACGGGGCAGGGACGGGUGUGUUCACAGUCCCAGGGACGGGUAUGUCUACAGUCCCGAUUGGAUUGGGUCAGAUUUGACAUUUCCUACAGUUGGUUAGUGUAGAGCAUGAUAGUAUAGUGAUUUGUAGCGGUUGAGUUUGUUUCCUGCUUUUCCUACUAUUCUUGCUCCCUCCUGUAGACUUAGUGGGUGGACCGAUGUUGUUUUGGGCGGUACCCACUGAGGACUACUUGUUUUUACAGUAGUUCUCACGCCCAGUUGUUACCUAUGUUUUUGCAGAGCCACAGGUUCCGGCUGCUGCACCGUCCGCGGAUCAGGAUCGAGGCAAGGGCGUUGCGAGUUAGAGCCCUACCCGACGUGCUGAGCUAGAGGUGCUCCUACUGCAGGUAGAUGUUUUGUUUCGAGUUUAUGUACAUAGUGGACUUAACUCGCCAGUGCGAGUAGCUUUGUAUUUUGGAUCUGGACUAUGUAUAUGAAACUAAGUUUGUUUAGCUUCUGUUCUCUCCAGCAGCUCUCUACUACUGUUCGUGGUAGUGUUUGAUUUUCUGGUACAGCUAUUGCUUCGUAUACAGGGAAAAUUCCUUUGUAUACGGCGGAUUUGUCGGCGCGCCCGGGGAAAGUGUAAUCCGGGGCGUGACAAUAAUAGUGCAAUGCCACGGAGCAACGCGAUGAGAAAUGGUGGAACAACUCUUCUAACAGUGCAAUGUCCGCCUCUCAGAUGUGCGACACUGGCGUUCAAUCUUCUCCCUCACCAAGGCAACCUCCUACUCCCCCGUAAGGCAGUAAUUCAACAAAAGGCUCGAAAGUAGUAGUUCAACAAAAUGCUCGGCGUGGUGUAACAUUUACGUAUUUUGUGCAAUAAAUAAAGAAAAAUGGUGCAACCUGUUCAAUGUUUUAAUGCAAAUAGUGCAAUGAGUCUAUAAUUUUACAAAAAAUGGUGCAACGAGUCCAUAAUCAGUUCAAAAUUUUCUCUGUAUUUGGUGAUAUAAUCUGAAGAUAAUAGUGCAAAUAAGUCCGUAAACUUUUCUACGGCGAUGAAUGGCGUCCCCUCCAAACGCAGGCGAAGCGGCUGUGGAGCAGGAGGGUCGUUGUAUUUCUCGUCCCCUAGUCGCCGUGGCGACGGCGAGGGCGACGUUCGAGAGGUGCAACAUAACGCUUAAACAAUUAAAGAUAAUAGAGUAACAUCUUUUAAAAAAGCUUACUUUUUUGUUUUAACCGUACAAUAAUAGUACAAUGUAAAACGCGAAUAAUAGUCCAACGCGGGAUAGAAGAGUGCAACCAAGCUCAAUGCAGUUCCAACCAGUGUAACUAAGAGAGGAACACUAGCAGCAUUGUUUUUUUUAAACCUAGUAGUGCAACUCAAUAUAAAAUGGUGCAAUAUGCAGCUCUAUUUAGUGCAAGUCGUCACAAACUAUUGAAAAUGCUCUCUUUAUUAAUGUUGUACCAAAGAUUACAUUGUCUUUGACGAAGAUGCAACAUAUAAAACACGAUUUGCAUACAAUACAAUAUUCUAUUACAUCAACUGUAACAAAAUGCUCUCUAUUAAUAUUGUACCAAAAAUUACAUUGUUUUUAAUAAAAGUGCAACAUAUAAGACAUGAUUUGCAUACAAUACAACAUUCUAUUACAUCAACUGUAACAAACUCUUCAAAAUAAUUAUUUAACAAAAGUAUGGAAUCAUCUAAGCUUGUUUGCAAUUCCACGCGCACGGAGCCGACGCUAACAGGCAUAGACGGCUAGGGGAGAGAGUUGAAGGAGACUGCAAGGAGGAGGCGGCUCGCUCGGAAGGGUACGAUCCAACAACGAGGCGUUAAGAUAGAUUCGCACUAUCUCGAGAGCUUUAUUUGCCAAGAGCCCUUUGGAUCUUCCCUCUACCAUGAAAUAGAUAGUACAUUUAGUAAAAUAUUAGAAUCGAUCAAUAACAAUAAAGAUCUAUAAGAAUUUAAGAACCUGAAAGAGAAGAGGGCCAAUGGGCUCAAGGCAAAUUAAUAAAGUACUCCAUAUAGUGCGAAUCAAUCUUAACGCCGCGUUGCUGGAUGGUACCCUUCCGAGCGAGCCGCCUCCUCCUUGAACUCUACUUCGGCUCUCUCCCCUCGUCGCCUAAACCUCCUGGACGAAUAGUAGCAUUGUCGCCAUUGCCUCCUUCGGCUCUGGCGCCUUCCACCACCGCCUCGGUUGCCCUCGCCGCCUUUACGUACGUCCUUUUUUUAUAUGUAGUACUAUAACGGAGAAUGCAUCUGAAGAACUGUUGGCUAAAAAGUAAAAAGGCGCUUGUAGUCAUUGGGUUCUGUUUCCGCCGCUUUCCCUUUCCGAGGAGAAAAGCCCCUUGACAUUGUCCUUAUGAUAACAUAUCUCGAGGACAGAACGUAAUCUUAAUGAUGUCACUGACGAUAUUUCUUAUUGAGGUACGGUUGAAAAAUGGCGCUAAUACCAAAACAAAAAUGCAGUACAGGAAUUUAAAAUAUAGGUGCAAUGGAUAACAAAAUAGUGUAAUACUGUUCGCAAUUAGUGUAAUAUGCUCGCAAGCAUUGUGAUAAUCUGCCAAAAUGGUGCAAGAGAUGCACCAUUUUAUUAGCAAUUGCCGACGAUCGAAGGCUAUGGCAACGUUGUAUGCAGAGAUGUCGGAAAUGAUUUAUGGUGGGAACGGACCUACUGUUUCCCGCCUUUUGCAGAACUUACCAACUCAUGCAAGUUAACUAGAUUAUAUUUUUAUAAAAGAGUGUUAUUGAACUACUAUCAGCUAAGUGUAUUGCUUCCAACUCAUGGAUAGCGUUGAAGUUCUAGUGCACUGCCAUUUUAAUGACUUCUUUCAGGAGGAUGGAGGAAAUGUCAAGUAUGUAGAAGGAUCCUGCCGGCUCGCUUUUAUCGGGCAAGGGGAGAGUUUUAAUUCCUUGCGAGCGCGGUUCUUCAAAUUCAUGAAUACUUCACUGGAGAUAUGUAAGAUCAAAAAUAAACUUUGCUACAGUGGGAAAAUCGUCAAACUCAUCGAUAUUGUAGACGACGAUGAUAUUCGAAACAUGUCGAGACUCUAUAAAUCCAUGCAUUUCUGAUGGAACUGUAUGUCGUGAGUAACGUAGUUGAGAGAAAGGUUCCUAUAUGUGAUCUCGAUGAGAUAGACGAGGUGCUUACCGACGAACGGCUGGAAUUGUUGAUUAGCAGCCGGUCCACGGAUGCAUCUACACCUCAGCCGCUUUUGAACUAGUUGGCUCGUAAGUUGCACUAUUUGUACUCUUUUGCACCAUUAGAUUGUAACUGUUGCACCCGAAAGCACUUUAUAUUUAAAGGUUGCACUACAUAUUUUUUACACUACUAGUUACAAUGCACUGCUUACUUUGUACUGGUAUUGCAGAUCCUGUCAUCCUAUUUUCAUCGACGACGCGGCAAACAGUGACGGAGGUACUUGUAUUGUUGAUAUGAAAGACGAGAUGGAUUCCGACGAUAGCAUCCGUAUCAUCGCGUCCUCUUUCGACGGAUUUCAUCGAACAUACAACACCAUGAAUGUUGUCCCAUUGCGCCAAAGCGACGCAGUGGGACUUACGGCUGAGGAAUUUGACGACGACGAGAUGGAAGAAGAGCUCAUUGUCAAUAGCGCUACGCCGGAGUCAGUUGGAACCGUCGCAGAUGUGGACGAUGUCCACGAGGGCCAGCUCUACAAAACGCAAGCCGACUUAAAAAGAGAUGUUAAAGCAUACGCAAUGAAAAGAGGUUUUGAGUAUGCCCCCACCGAAUGCAACGAUCUUAAGAUAACCGUGAGAUGUCCUUUCGUAGAUUGCCCGUGAAGAAUAAAGGCGCGUCACCUAGCAGGACUUACACAAUGGUGGGUGAAGAAAUUUGUUUCAAAACACACUUAUAGCCGUGCAAUAGGGGGUUUAGACCAUAAGAAUUGCGAUGAGGAAUUUAUCGCAUCUUUUGUUAGGGAGUAGGUCGUAGCAAACGAGAAAUAUACGCCGAAAAUGGUUCAGAUCGAGAUUCUGCGCCAGCACGACGUCAGAAUUUCUUACUGAAACCUGCUUGGUUUACCCCUAUCAGGCCAAGUAUUAGACCUAAACCUGAAAGUUGAAUCGGAUGUUCAGACUCGUUACCUUUAGGGGAAGAAGGUUGACCGCAAAAACCUCGAGGUGGUAUUGAAGGAGAUGUCACCCAAGGAGGACGAAGACGACAUUACCAACUUCAUGAAAUUAUUUAUUCUCUACUCUUUUUGUUGCAUUCUUUUCACAAAUACCAAUAAUCUCUACCCCAAAGGUCUGGUGGCUCUUGUCGAUGAUCUCCCCGCUUUGGGACGCUACAAUUGGCCGGAAGCAGUACAUCGGCUUAUCAUCGACAGCCUAUAUUCCGCAGCCAUUAAAUUGCAAGCUAAUGCCAAGAAGGUGGGAUACGUUCUUGGAUGCACCCUGCUUUUCCCAGUAAGUGUAUUAUUGUGCAAGUAAUCGUGCAAAAGAACUAUGUUGUAUAUGUCGAUCGUGUAAUUUUGUGAACUAUAGUGUAAUAUUAUGCUGAUUAGUAGUAUAAUAUUGUCUUUGCUCAGGUGUGGAUAUACGAGCACACUGGGUAUAGAUGUCUUCUGCCUUCCCCCCGUGCAAUAUUUUCAUAGGGAUCGUCGAGAGUGAAGGAGGAUUUUAACUUCAUUAGGUAUCGGCGCAGACUCGACCUCUCCCCGGAAGAACAAUGGCUAUUAGGGGUCGUGGCUGAUGUUCCACGUCGCCAGCGCCCCAUGAAUGAGGAACCUUCGGGGGGCUAUAAAGAGGUGAUGGCGGCAAUUGCCUAUCUGGAGGCCGUGGUGUACAGUCUUGCCACCUUCGUGGCCGGCAUACUGAGCAAUCCUGCUAUUCUACCAGCACCAACAUCAUCGCCAGCACCUCUUGGAAGUAAAAAGAUUAAAAGAGGCACGAAAGGGUGCAAGUACCAACCCCCCUACCGUCUAAAUCCUCUGGGCGCUCCUCACAGAGUGUCAAAAAAUAAAAGUUAGCACCGUCCGUCUUAGAGAUGCUCGCAACGAUCUCGGCCAAUAAGGAGAAACCCGAAUUCGGGAAAGAACGAAGGCUGAGUUCGCCGAAAUCUAGAAAGAAUGGGGCUCGCCAAAAAUUAUGGAGUCCACCUAGAGUUCCCCACGAGUGGUAAGAACCGCACGCCGCGGAAGGGCAAGCGAACUAGGAGCCCGUACCUCCUCCGACCGCUCUGGGGACGAAAGAAGAACGGCGACGACCUAAUCGCCGACGAAUGUAACGCGCUUAUUAUUUUACAUUCUCAGUAAAAGUGUGAUUCUUAUGUUACAUUCUCAAUACUAGUGUGAUUGUACUACACGGAGUUUAAUAAAAGCAUGUUUUAGUUGUUUAUUGGUGCAAAAGUUUUUGUAAUAGUGCAUCAUUUAGUCCAGUAGUGUAACAUACAAUUGCAUCAAUUGUAUGCAGGUUGUGCCGUCGAGAGAGAGCGCACACUCCCGGACGCCGAGAGAGAGCGCACAUCUGCGCCCGGUCAUUGUAUCUGAAGAACAAGUCGAAGAAGAUGACCGUACAAUAGUUGGUCUUUUUGCCGGCGAUGUAGCUAUGGAAUGCGACGAAGUAUGUAAACAUGUAAUUGUUACUUAAAUAGUAUAAUUUUUAAACUAAUAGUUCGAUUGACUCCAAUUUUUAAAACAAAAUGUCAGCUACAUAACGUCGUCAUCCAAGUAUGUCACGACGUCCAACCAUUAUCUUCGCUACCAGAGGUGCCGGAACCCUUAUUGCCGGAAGUGUUGAAGUCCGGCGAGGCGGGGAAUUGAAGGCGGGGGAUUGAAGGCGGCGGUAGACCCGAAAAAGGCGGGGAAACCGGAGGUGGCGGCGCUAUCGGGGGUGGCGGCGGACAAGGAGGCGGCGGCGGUACCAUAGGCCGCGGCGGAAAGGGCAGCGGUGGCGGAACCGGAGGCGGCGGCAGAACCGGGGAAGGCGACGAAACCAGUGGCUGCAGCGAAACCAGAGGCGGCUGCGAAAAUGGUGGCGGUGGCGGAACUGGAGGCGGCAGCGGCGGUAAUGGUGGCGGUAGCAGAACGGGUGGUGGUUGCGGAAAUGACAGAGACAUCGAAGCCCACAAAGACAGCUCGCACAAAUAAACGGGUAACUGAAUGUUACACCGAUACUUUAUAAUUAAUGCAAUAUUUCUUCUAUUUGUGAAAUAGUUCCCUGAUUGUUGCACUAUUUAAUUUUUCUGUGAAUAGGCGACUAUUUUUAUCAACAACCCCCCUCCCCCGGACGGAUACUUGCAAGUCGAAGAAACGCCAGGCGUGGCGUGCUGGCGACGAAGGCGGCUGCGCAAGAAGUAAAUUUUUUCAAGCCGGAACCCAGCAAUAGAGCGGUAUGUGAAUCUUGCAACGAUACUUUUAAGUAAUUUGAUAUUGCUUCUAAUAGUGUAAAAAAGUGCAGCAAUGGUGUAGUUCCCUAAAUGUUGCACUCUUUGAUUGAUUUGUAAACAACCCCCAGUAAUCAUCGACAUCCACCCCUCGGAAGAUACAUGCAAAACAAAAGGGGCCAAAAACUGAAGAUUGCAAAAGCGACAUCGUCCAACGAUUUAAAGUACUAUGGUAAGGGAGUGCUUCCUCAUGAGGAUCAGGAGUUAAUUGAAAAUUUCCUUACAAACGACACCCAAGCGAUAACCGUGUCUUCGAAAAGCAUUGACAUCAGGCAAAAGGACUUCGUCGACCUUACAAGUCGCAUGGCCUUAGUUAGCUCCAAUGUUAUUGACUCCUACUAACAUCUAUUAGAGGAGACGGAAGGCCGAAGGUGCAUAUACUCCACGAGGUUUCUUUACCAGACCAUGGAUACAGAUUUUUGCAAGGAUAUAUUUAUGACGAAUGUGACCGAGGGGGUAGUUAGUGACGCAAAGUAUUGGUUCAUCCUGCUCUUCGACUUCGAUCAUUGGCACUUGCUGGCGGUCAAUCUCCAAGAAGGGAAGCACCUCCACUUAUCCUCGAUUAAAAAUGUUAAAUACAACGCUGGGUUCGAAAAGCGGUAAGUAAGAUUACUCUAUUAUCUUCUCUAAUUAGUGCAACAUUCUAUUAUGCAGUGUAACUUAGUAGGAAAUUUUUGAAACAAAAUUUUUUCGACUUGUUUCGCCGCUGCGACACUCGUCCCGUUGACUAGGAGAAGAUCAACAUAGAAGACAUCCUGAUGCAAGAUCAGUCAAAUGACUGCUCUAUCUUCCUUUUGGCAUACGAAGAAUACCUGCAGAAGGGGUGGAACAUGAACUUCUCCCAGAAGGAUGCGACGAAGAAACGCGGCGAAAUAGCAGCAGAAUUUUUGAAGCAUUUUUACUCUCAAUGAUUCGAUUAAUAAUUUUUUAAUUUUUUCAGAUUUUGUUCGACAUUUGAGGAUUCGGUGUAAAUUUUCUCUUUUUUUACCUAUAAAUAAAUGACUCAAAAUUUCUCUGUAAUGGUGUAACACAACAAGCAUCUGCACAUAUUGAUCAACAUAGUGUAAGUUUGUAUAUCAAAGAGUGUUGAAUUGUUUGCGUCUUUGUUACACCAUUUACACACUUGUUUGCACUAUAACUUCUUGCAAGCACCAAAUACAGAGAACAAUUUGCACUACUACCUAAGUGUAAACGCAAGUUACAAAAAUAGACGGAGGAUUUGCCCUGCUUUCCCUAUAGAUACAUGACUCAAAAUUGAAACUUCUCCCACAUUUGAGCAUUCGGUGCACUGCUUAGAGAAUGAUUACACUAGUUAUCAAAAAAUGUUGAACUGUUUUCGUCUUCGUUACACCAUUUACACAAAUGUUUGCACCACAACUUCUUGCAAGUACCAAAUACAGAGAACAAUUUGCACUACUACCCAAGCGUAAACGCAAGUUACAAUAUGGACAAAAGAUUUGCCGCGCUUUCCUGCGUUGCGCCUGUAGAUGUCGUCACGCACUGCGGGACCUCCAGAGGCUGCUUGCUUCUGGCCAGAGGAGGGUUCCUGCAUGACCGUUUGUUGUGCCCCCACCUUUGGCAAUUCCCGCACCGCUUCUUUACCAGGCUGUUAGAAAUUGGCUCUCUCCGCGCAAUUUUCCUUCUUCCCGGUUGUAUGCACACAUUUAGCGAUCGCAGCAGAACUACGGUGCUUGGUAUAGGUAGCCAAUGCUCUUUGCCUCUGGUGGGGGGGACGUAGUCGUUGUAGGUUGCGCGAUAAAUCAUGGUCUUGAACCAGUCCUCGACAAAAUCAUACGGAUCCCACAGCCUACAUGAAAUUACUCCCAUGGCGUGAUUACAUGGGACGCGUCAAUAUCCCAACGCUUGCAGAAACAUGUCAUUUUAGAAAGAUCCACAACCUCCGUACUUGUAACGUAUUGAAACCUAGAUAGAAAAUGACGAACUUUAGGCAAACUGACUAAAGUGCGCGAAUGGAUUAAUUGGGCGAGUUCCAAUUAACCUACCAACACUGUUGGGAGGGUUAAAAAUGAGUUUUAGAAGUGUUAGAAGGGUUUUGGCAUCGAUCAGCGCAAAAUAGAAUCGAGACGGAGCCAAAAAUCAGGUCUGGAGCAAUGUAUACCGGUACAGCAAGCGACCUGUCAUCGGUUAAACAUGCUGAAACCGGUGACACGAAAAAGUGUACCGGUACACUUUGGGCAAAACUGACAGAUCUGCUCUCGGGUUUGCCUCUGCGUAGUCGUGUAACCGGUGACAUGAAAAAGUGUACCGGUACACUUUGGGCGAAACUGACAGAUCUGCUCUCGUGUUUGCCUCUGCGUAGUCGUGUAACCGGUGAUACGAAAAAGUGUACCGAUACACUUUGGGCCCGACAGCAAAACGAGGUCUGCUGCAAAAUAUAAAGAUUGGGAGGGUUUUUUGGCAAAUGUUACAACAUGUUAAUAGCCCAAUACCCCUUCCCCUCACAGCCAACACCCAUUUCACCCUCUCUCUCAUUUUCCUCUCUUUCUCUCUCUAGAAAGCAAGCCCUAGAGCUUGGAGAAGGUGGAGAAGAGCUUGGAGAAGUGGAUUUUGGUGGCUUUGGUGGUCCUAGAAGCUCUCCAACAAGUAGGCUUUGGUGGAGCUUGGGCAAAGGUGAGUCCUUAUACAAAAAUGAGUUUAGGGUUUGGAUUUAGACCUUAGAUUUUUGGGUUUGAUCUUUCUACAAGUGAGGAAAUCCUCUAAGGACCAUGAUUCCAUGAAAAACAUGGAUUUCUUAGACCCCUCUCAUGGUGGAUCAUUAGGGCUCAAAGUAGAUGCCCUAGGGAUGGUUCUAAAAGCUUAGAAACCUUAUUAGAGAGCUUCCCAUGUGAAUCUAAGCUAUCUUUUGCUUAGGAAUGAGAUCAAUCUCGGAGAAAUGCAAAAAUAACAUGUAGAUCUAUUUUGAUCUAUUUUGAUCAUGUAGAAACCUAAUUGAGGGUAUUUUAAACGCGUUGGAACGCUCGGUUCGACAAUCCGACGAGUGUACGCAAAGUUAUUAACAAAAACGUNUCUUUUGUAUUUGAUGAUUUUAGUAUUAUGAACUUGCUUUAAUGAAUGAUGUAAAGGAUAUUUACCUAAAUGCCAAAAGUUAUAUUUUGGGAGAAAUGAGAUAUAAAAAGAAAUGAUGCUGGAAUGUGACAGAACUUGAUUAUAGUUGGAUACAUAUAUGUGAUUUAAAUUUAGUCAUAUUACUUGUAUAUUGAAUUGCUAAUUCUUUCCCUUGGCUAUUGCUUGCCCUCGUGCAAGCCAUUGUGUAUGCUUCCGCUUAUGCAAAUUUGUACUCUAUUGAUACUAGUGUUGAGCCUUGGGCGAACAGGGGAAGCUCUGUCCGUUCGGCGUCUGUUUGACGCUCUCGAACCGGCCAAAAAGGAUCAGGCUCGGGGUGUGACAGUACUGGUUGGUGUGAUUACCUGUUAAGAAAAAACACAAGCCAUAGGAAUGAGUGAGACAAAUAGUGCAACGAGUAGAGAAAUAGUAUAUAAAAAUUUUACAACAAUGUAACGUUAUGUGAUAUCGUAUAAUACGUUUCGACAUUAGUGCAACUAAUAGUUAAAGUAGUGCAAAUAAUUAUUAAAAUGGUGCAAAUUAGUCUAUAAGACCUGAAAAGGGACAUCGGUCGAAAGGUUCAGUGUGUAAAAGCGAGACGCUUCCCUCGAGCUCUUUAUUAUCUUCUCUACAUACGGCGUUAAAAUACUGGUCAUCUUUUCCCCACCAUUUUUCCUCUGGUAAAAAUACCACUCCAUUUUCUUUCGUGUUUUCUUUACUAGGUAGGUAAUUGGAAGGCCCUUUAAAUAUCGUAUAACACUGUUUAUCAUCUCGGCAUAGUUGGAAGUGAGAAUUGAAUAACGCCUUCCAAAGAAGCAAUGGAUAGCCCACCUAUGCCGAGAAAGCUUGACCACAUACUUGUACUGUUUCGGGUUCAAAUCCUUCAUCUUCUCCAUUAUUUCGUUGAACUCCGUGACAGUGUAAGCACGCGCCGCCACCCAAAAUCUUCUCCACGUAGGGGUAUUUUUUGGCGUGUGUGGGAGAUUGGUAGAAAGGUAGUACAUGCAAUAAUCAUGAGCUGCAUUUGAAAAAACAUCGACUACAGUUUCAAUACGACCUUUUUGUCUGAUAGAAACAAAAGUAAGUAUAUUGUUUUCUCUGUGGACCUCGCUGUCACGCCCUGGGCUUCAGCGGAAGCUCCCCAGUCACGUGCACAGACCCGCCGUGUACAUCACAACCUCACGAGUACACCAAGCGUCUACAAUCAAUAUAGUAAAAGUCUACUGACUUAAUUAGGUAAUCAGAGCAAAACUUAAAAAUUCAUAAACUUAUACAACACAUAACCUUAUUACAACUGAUAAGAACAAGUACAAUCUAUAUAAACCCAGUAUACAACACUGAACUAAACUACAUAAACUUGUAGAUGUUUAUCUAUUUAACAUCGAGAAGGCUUUAGCUAGCCGCUGACCCCUCGCCGAGAACCCUAGCCUUUCCCGCUGUGAAAGGCUCUGCACAAAAACAACCAACAAAAGGGCGUAAGAAUUAUUUGUCACGCCCCGAGAUCGCCAGUUUGGUCGGUUCGGGCACGUCGAACAGACGCCGAACGGAGAGCACCUCCCCUGUCCGUCCAAGGCUCAACCACAAGAUCAUAUACAUAGAAUUUGCCCAGGAAUAAUUCCAAACACGUACAUAAUCCAACGAUAAGCGCCACAAGCGCACAAAAGUAAGAGCAAGUAUCACGAGUACAUACAAGUGAAAUAAAGAGAGAAUUCUAAAUUAUUACAUCACAUUUACUUCAUUUAUACCAUCGAUUACAUUCAUAUCUUCCAAAACAUAAAUACAAGUACAUCCACAACUCUCCAAAAGCAUCUCACAACCUAUACAUCACUACGCUCAUAUACAUAGGGUGACGCUAAUGCAAAAGGAAAGCCACUACCACUAGGGCGUUAUGCCCUUGCCACGGUCCUCGCCCGGUGUAGACGUACUCGGCCCUGCAAUAAGGUGGGGUGAGAAUUAUUAUCCAUAGUUCCCAGUGGGUUCGGGCGCCGACUCCGCCGAUCUCCCCAUUAGGUCUAAGCAGGCAUAAGCAGAUAGAUAGAUAGGUAAGCAGUAAACAGACGACAUGCUACUAUGCCUCAAUCAGGAAUGAAUGAAUAAAAUUACAUAGUACAAAGAUAGCUAUCAUACUACCAUGUCAAGAAGGCCGUGUCACUCUUGUUAUCAUUCAAUCACUCGGCUAACCCACAGGUUGUUCCAACUCAAAUCUCAAUCUCACAGGUGAGGAUCUGCUCACUCACCCGACUCACAAUCAAAUCUCAAAGGGGAGGAUCUGCUCACUCACCCGAGACUGUUUGCAGGACCCCAUAAGGCUAUCCCUCAUGUGACAAACUCCGGAGCGCACUGCUUGUGCGCAGCGACCGCCUACAAGCUCUGAACAGACAUGUGAGUAUGAUCAAAUCCUCGUCACUGAGGAUACCCUGCCGCUAGGGUCAACAUCCAUCAGGGAACUAGUUCAUCCUUAAGUUUAACAUGCAACAAGUGUUUUCAUCUAUACUCUACUUGUCAUGCCACUCGUUAGGUUAUCACCCUUUUCUAGAUGCCACUCGUUCUUUGGUUCUCGUCAACACAAGAUUAAGUUCAUCAUUUAACUUUACCACUAUAGGGUUCUAGAUCAUAAUUCCUCUAUGCUCAUGCAUCCGAACUCAAGUGUCAAACUCAUGUUGCUACACUACUAAGGAUCAUGCAAGAAUGGAAAAGCGACUAUUCAAUACCCUAUCAUGCAUAAUACUAACAUGUAUAUAUGAUCAACAGUAUAACUCAGACAUAAGGGGAAGCCCAGUUGCUUCGGGAUGACACCACCACCUCUUGGCGAUGUUGCGACUCUAGGAACGCAACUCGGCAAUUUUUAGGACGCCUCACCGGCUUUCUAGGCGAAAACGAAGCUUGGAGGGUCCUUCUCGCUAAUAACUAUGCACAGGCUCGACGGAUCGUCAAACCAACUCCGUCCACGCGUUUAAACACCUAGCAAUUAGGUUUACAUAUACUCAAUUUAGAUCAAACCCUAGCCUUUAUCAAAAACCCAUUCGGAAUCCUAGAUGUUAUAAUCGCAAGAAUACAUCGAUUAAAUCUCUAGAUUCAUGCAAUUUGCAACUAUCUAGCAUCAAUAGGUUCCAACCAAACCAAUUCUAAAGUAUAAAAUCUAAACCUUAGAAAUCUACCAUUAAAGCUUAAUGGAGCUUACCUCUCAAGCUUGCCCUUAAGGUGGAGAAGAUGAUAAUGAAGAUGAAGACCCACCUCUUGGCUUCAAUCUCCACCAAAUCCUUCUCUUUCUUCACCUUCUAGAGAGAGAGGAAAAGAGCUUAGAGAGAGAGAGAGUUUUUGGUUUAGGGUUAGGGAAAUGAGGAAAAGAGAGAGAGGAGUGGCCCUCAAGUAAUCCCCACAUAUCACAAUUGCUGAAAACCCCCUCCAUAAUGCAAGUUAUGCACGGCCCAACCCAGGGCAUUUUCGGGUACAGGGACCGGUCUGUCCCUAGAGGGACCGGUCCCCGAGAGCAAACUUUGCGGGCAGAGCAAUUCUGCCAAUUCUACGGGUACGGGGACCGGUCCUUCACUCUAGAGGGACCAGACCCUGAGAGCAAAACUUGUGCGCAGCAACAUUUUGCCACACACACCACGUACGGGUACUGGUCCUUCCCCAGAGGGACCGGUCCUCGAGAGCCCAAAUUCUGCAUUGUGCAGAAUUGCACUAGUUGCUCUCCGAGGCCCUCUCCAAUGCACUUUAUGCAUCUUUGACGCCUUCGACCUUUCCGAAGCGUACCAAGCUUAACUUCGAUCAAUUCUGAUUGAGGCCCAACUCUCGUACUUCGAAAGUCCGAUUCCUCACACUAUUAAACAAUAGUUCCCAGUGGGUAAGUCGCCGAGAGUGGCGAAGUACACCACUAGGUCAACUGAGGCAUGAGUAACUGACAAUAAGUAAGCAAAGUAAAUGCAACAAGUAAAUAAAGUAAUUCUACCAUAGCAUGCCUCACACGAUAUGUUUUCUAACAUGUCUUAUCUACCAAUUCAUCAUAACAAGUUUUAUAAUUCAUGUUAAUCAUCAGUUUAAUCAGCUAUAUGUCAUGCUAUAUGCAAAAUAUCAUCAUCAUAAUUUAACUAGCUAAUAAUAUCAUGUAGCUAUUUUCCUAUACUAGCAAGAGUGUAAAUAUUCAAGUACUGUCACUAUACUACUGACUAACAAGGAUGUCAACCUCCUAGUGUUCAUUACUAGGUAUAUUCAACUGAUGACAUGAAAUAUCUUUACUACUAUGUCCAACUAAGGUUAAAAUCACUUACAUUAGCCUAAUUAACAGGAGACUUACACAUGCUAAAGUUCGAGCCCGUGCCUUGCCUAAUGCCCCUGUGGAAGUCAACACCACCCACGGCAAUCCACUUCGGCGCCUAGUUUCGUACAUAAGCGAGCAAUCUGUCAUGUAGGCCAACUCCGGAGUGCCGGCUUGUGGGGAGCGACCCUCACAAGAAUGUGCGAAUGAGCACAUUGGCAAGCAAGCGUAAUCUAUAGCAUAGGUAUCACAAAUUCAUCAUGUCUCUAACAUGGAAUCUCAACUCGACACACGGUCGACAAUUAACACUAAGUCAUAAUCCACUAUCAACUAAUUGGUGCCAUGUUUCUUCCAAUAGAUAAUAUGACUUAAAUAAGUAUAUGCUUUACAAUAUAUUAAUGAUUCUAAUCAGCUAUACUCGCAUACUCAUAUACAAUCCUCUCACUACUCCCUAUACAUAAGGAAAGUGGUUUACUAAGGUCAUACUCAAUGACUCAUUCUAGUGUUCAUGUAAUUCAUGGCACAUAUUCUAUAGUUUACAAUAACCUCCACUACUUGGAGUCAACAAGUAUAACAUCAUAUUCAACUCUAGUUAUUUAACUAGGUCAUAUUCUUUAGUAUCAUGUUCAUGUUAUGUCAUAAUGCCAAGUUCCAGUACUUAAUUAGAUCAUAUACCAGAACACGAAGUUCAUGCUAGUUCUAUCAUAUGAAUACCAUGAAUAGCUUGUUUACACAAGUAUACACAACCUCAGAUAGAGUAUUCUACAUAUGAUCUCUAAACAAUUCAUUUCAUAAUACAAAGAGAUAAUCUUGUUAUAUGCUAUAUGCACAUAGAAAAUCUAUCAUCAUGUCUAAAACACAGAUUAGCAUACUUUAACUUGAGAGUUAAAUAACAUAAUCAUUCUCCACUUAGUUGUUAAACUAUACUAAGUGUUCCAUUCAUAGUUUGCCUUGAUUCUCCAUCUAAUGAUACAAGGUCUAACUUGUCUACACAAGUUUUACUAAUAUCUUGAACACAUAUUAACCGAGCAAGCAAUCUAUGUAGGUUAAGCAAUUUCAUAAUCCUUUUUCUACUAUAUAGAGGCUCCAUUAUAUCCAACAUAGUAUGCAUAUUGAUGUAUGCCCAAAUUCAUUCAAAUAAAUAUGUAUUCACUUGAAUAUGCAACAAUUCCAAUUCUAUAAUGUCAAAGAAGACAUAGAGGGAAUUCACCCAACUCGGUAAGGUCAAACCCACCAAUUAGUUGACGACUCUCGUCGAUUCCGCAAGCGAAGAUAUUCCCUAGCUUCCAAGUACCCUAACAAAUAUUUCAAAAUCAGCGAAGAGCUGAACUUAUAUCUCUACAUUAAAACCUCACAUAAUCACCUCAUCUAAUUAGAUUCUCACAUAGUAUAGUGUUAAAGCUUGAAUCCCGACUUUGGUUCAGGUUGGAACACCAAAACCUACCUUUGAAAGCUCCCAAAUCUCAGCCAAAAGAGAUCAAAUGAUCCGCUGCGAACCUGCUACGAGAUAGCAUUAAAACUGCUUCAAAGCUACCAUUAACACAUCCAACUGAAGAGCUACUAAGUAGGAUACCUUCCAACAGCUCCAACUGAGCUUUUCCCUGAGUUAGAAUGGAUAAACCACAACCCAAAACCAGCUUCAAGAGUCACCCAAAGAUCAGCCACAGGUUCACAUAUCCUGCUGUCAACAUGUAUUCAAAACAGCACCAUUACUAUCACUUCUACAACAUAUAUAGCAUCCAGCACACAAAAGAAGUUAGCUAAUCACUUUUCAGGCUUCAAUUCAACUUUUCCUGGUAUUAGAGUUGAUAAACCACAACAAAAUCCUUCCUCUACAGCUGCUAUAAACCUUCCCAAUCAGCUGGUAGCAAAGGGAUAAAGAACCAACAUCAACAUCACUAUUAUAGCUUCACUAGGUUUUCUUAUGGCAACCUAAGUUCUAGAAUCCAAGAAAUUCAAACUAAACCUUUCUUUAGGUUAAAUCACAACCAAAAAUUGAGAUUCAUCUACUUUAGGUUUGCUAUUUAUUUAGAUUAAACACAACAAAACCUAGCAAAGUAACAGCCUUGUAGUGUACACAUGCUGUCCAUAGUGCAGUUUUUAAGAUUACAUAGCAUUUACAAGCUCUAGGAAUCAAAACAUCCUUUCUUAGGGUAAUUAGAACAAACCCAAGCAAAAAACACAGCUACUUACCUCAGGUUGCAAGCUCUAACAGUUGGUUUCCUACACAAGAACUCUUCCUCACAGCCAAAGCAAUCAACUCCACCACUUCUCUAACCAACCCAUCAAACCAGCCAUCUACAGUUUUAGAGAGAGAAAGGAGAAGAAAGAAAAUGAAAAGAGAUGGAAAGGAAGGUGCCCUGUAUACGUACACAACUAGGGGUGUGCUGGAUCUGUGGAUAAGAGCAAAUAAUUGCUCUUAAACCCGCCCAAAAAUCUGCAAUUGCAGUUUACACUUCAGUCCCUACAGGUUUUCUGCACUUAACAGCAGCAGCAGCAGCAGUAGUUUUCAGCAGCAGCAGUAGCAGCUGCAUUCAGCAGUAGCAGUAGCAGCAGCUAUUGCACUUAAACCGCCCAAAAAUCAGAAAUUCUGCUUUUACAAAACAGUCCCUGCAGCUUUUUAGUGCAAAAUCUGCACUUGGCAGCACUUGUUUCCAAGGUUAUUUCGCACUUCCACUUUGUUCUGAACCCCUUUAAACCUUUCUAAACUUGUAAUUAGCUACUCCCACACGACCAAUUUAGCUCGGGGACUAACUAAUUUAUAUUCUUGCAUUACUUUGAUCACUUUGAUCAAAGUUAGCGUUGUAGUUGGAGAUUUGAUAUAUUACACUUGCGUUCACCAACGACACCAUCCCGCAACUGUUCAAGAAACCAGUGCCAGGAAUAUCGAUUUUCAUCCUCAACAACUGCCUAUGCUAAUGGCAGGAUAUAGUUAUUUCCAUUGAUACAUAAUGCCGUCAGCAGAGCCCCUGUCACGCCCCGGGACCGGCAGAGGCCCUCCCGGUAGCGUGUCCAGACCCGCCAUAUGUCGACACAUAUAAGACGUCUAGAGUAAAAGCGGAAGUAAAAGCGAGAAGUAAUAGAAACGAAUGAGCAACAACUAGUGAUAUCAGAGCAGUAUGAUUCUAUCUUCUAUAACAAUAGGAAAAGAGCAUAACUAAACCAUAAAAGUGAAACAUAAGUAGUACAAUAUCAGCUUCUAGUACAAAAAUGGUGGUCUCUAAUGCACUGGUAAAACUCUCAACCUCUCACAAAAGAAACAAAGAGAGGUAGACCACCUAUCAAACGAUCCCUCGGUAAGCACGCUAGCCCGAGGUAAUACUCUUUCCGCGAUCCCUGGCCUCACCCUGUGUGGAAGGCUCUGAAAAACAACGAGAAAAAGAGGGCGUGAGAACUAUAAUUUAUAGUUCCCAGUGGGCAAUUACUGACCUCAGCUCAUGCUCCACUAGGCCCCAAAAAUAAGGGUAAGCAACGAUAAUAAUAAUAAGCAAUAAGGAGCAUGUAAAUAAACUGCUGAAAGAAAGCAUAAUUGAAAUGCUAGUCUACUGUGUCUCAAGUAAGCAUGAUGUCAACCAAAAAGUACAUUAUCUAUCAUUACAAUUAAGUCCAAUGGCACUAGUUUAAUGUUGUUAACCUUUGUCAAUGCAUGAUGUAGAAGUUCUAUCAUGGCAACCAAGUAUACUACAUGUCUCACACUAUGCUAAAAGCAUGUAAAUGUAAUCAACUACUAAGCCUAUUUAGUAGUGAUCAUUCAUUCUCAAACCUUGUCGAUUUCAUUUCCAAUUAAGGAUCUACCAAGGUAGUCCGGCUUGUGCCGCCUAAGUGCCUGUGGUAGCCCGACAUUCCUACCCAUGAAUGUGUUGUCCCACUCGACCCCGUAGCGUCUCAAUACCGCACCAGCGAACAAAAGUCGCAUAGGCCAACUCCGGAGUGCCGCUUUUUGGGAGCGACCCUCACAAGCAUGUGCGAAUGAGCACAAAUGGCAAAACAAGCAAGGUCACUGUCUCAAGUACCAAUCCUCAUGUCUCUAACAUGGUAUAGUCGCUAGCAUCCCGAAGGUCUAGUUCCAGGUCAUAAUGAAGUCCCAACACACACUUGCUUAGUGCCUCUUUAUGACACUUAAGCUCCACAACUAAUCAUGUUCCAAUUAAGAAUUAACAUUAAUGCUCACUAUGCCCGGGCCCCAAUGCCUCUUCAUGACAUUGGCCAAUCUCACAUAUCAUCUAAGUCCCUAAGCCUCUCUAGGCUUCCAAAAAUCCCUAAUGUCACAUCUGGUAUAUAGUUUGAAUGCAUGAAAGCAAGGUUCGUUUUCAUAAUAGGGAUUAUAAUUUCAAGUCUCAACUAGAAUGCUAGCCACACAUGCAUGCUCUCUACUAUAUUAGAGGUCCCAAAUUUACUACAAAUAACUAUGCAUGUUAAACAUUCUAAAAUUCAUAAUAAAUACAUUAACAUGAAAAUGCAUAAAUUUCAACUUUACGAAACAUUUAACACCAAUAUGAGCAUUUCUCAUAUUGUAUGCUAGGCCAAACCCACCGAACCCGUCGCGUGCUCCUUCGAUAUCGCCGAACGGAGUUGUCCACGAGCCUCAAGAAUAUCCUAAAAGUGAUCAACGAAGAGAUACGAGAGCAUUACGACACAACCAUAAGAUCAAACAUUAACCUAGAAGCAAAAAGGGCCAAAAUUUACCUCAAGAGUAGAAAUCUCUUCUAAAGCUCCAAAAGAGAGCUAGAACCCUUCCAAUCCAAGCCCAAGGAAGGUUCUAAUCCAAUCAAUCUAGCCCAGAAAGCUCUAGAUCAAAAAGCCCCAAAAUCAACCCUAAAUCUCAUUUCUAGGGUUCCAUCUACUAAAAAUCCUCAAAUCAAGUCUAGAGGAGGAAUGAGCAACAAACCUCCUUAGAAGCUCCAAUCCAAGCUCCAAGGGUGAAGAUCUCCCCCUUUGCAAGCCCCAAGUCCAAGCCUUCAAGCUCCAAGGAAGAUGAGAGGGUGAGGAAGAUGCUCCAAGUCCACUAGAAGCUCCAACCUUCCUCUCCUUCUCCUUCUUCUUCUUCUUCUCUAUCAAGGGUGUAGAGAGGGUUGAGAGAAGAGAAAUGGGGAGAGGAGAGAGUGGAGGGGUCAUAUAGACCCCCUAUUGCAACAAAAUCCCAAGAGGCCCCCCAAAAAUCCAAUAUUGCAACAGCCCGGUCUAGGUAGUUUUCGCUCAGAGGGACCGGUCUCUCCCCAGUAGGGACCGGUCUCUCGCUGCGAACCCGAAAAACUAACGUUCGGGAACCGGUCUUUCCCCGCGUAGGACCGGUCUCUCACUGCGAAGACGCGCUCGGGGACCGGUCUCACCUGCCAGGGACCGGUUGCCUCAGGCUGCUUCAACACUGCUCACUGGGGGACCGGUCUCUCCUUCCAGGGACCGGUCCCCGAAAGUAAAAACUCUCAAGACUUGUCCAGAAUUCCAGUUUUCGAACUUUUUAGGUCGGAAAACAUUCUACAACCCUCCACCAAGUGUGGGGGACCGGUCUCUCCUUCCAGGGACCGGUCCCCGAAAGUAAAAACUCUCAAGACUUGUCCAGAAUUCCAGUUUUCGAACUUUUUAGGUCGGAAAACAUUCUACAACCCUCCACCAAGUAUGGAAAAGCUCGAAAUACAUCCAAACACUCGAACCUCGCAAUUUGCAAAGGUCCAGUGUGCUACAGCCCCUCUAAACUUACUGUCACGCCUCGAGACCGCCAGUUUGGCCGGUUCGGGCACGUCGAACAGACGCCGGACGGACAACACCUCCCAUGUUCGCCCAAGGCUCAAACAACAAGAUCAUGCAUUAGAAUUUGCCCAGGGAUAAUUCAAAUACAUACAUGAUCCAUACAACGACGAUAGCAGCACCACAAGUACUACACAAGUAAGAGCAAGAAUCACAAGUACAUACAAGUGAAUAAAGGAGAGAACUUUCUAACUAUUACAUCACAUUCAACCAUUUACAUAACAUGUUUACAUUUUUCAUCUCACCAAAAUUAAUACAUUUGAUUGCAUGUUCAUCAUCUAGAUACAUAUCCAAAAUACAUCCAUGUCAUCUAUGUACACGAGGGUACUCUAGUAAAAAGGAAAACCACUACUAGCUAACUAAGGCGCUAUGCCCUUAUCGCGAUCCUCCCCCGGAACGCUCGAGCUCGGGCCUGAACAAAGUGGGGUAAGAACUAUAUAAAUAUAGUUCCCAGUGGUUUCGGCCGCCGACUCCGCCGAUCUUCCCACUAGGUCUAAGCAGGCAUAAGCAGAUAGAUAGAUAGAUAAGUAUGGAAAUAACUGCUGCAUAGUAAUAAAAUUUACAAGUAUGCUACUAUGCCUCAAUAUACAAGGUAAUGAAUGAACAUCUCAAGUACUCUACUCGCAUGAUGCUAUGUCUCUACAUCAAAUAUAAUGCAAUGCCUACUAAGCUCAAGAUGCGUAUCAAUCAUGAGUUCAUUAUCCAAUCCACUUGGCUAACCCGAAGGUUAUGCCCCGACUGAGAUCUCAAAUCUCUAAGGUGAAGAGCUACCCCGCUCUUCGAUCAACUCUCAUCUCGAAGGCCAUAGGUGAAGAGCUACCUCGCUCUUCGCCCUAACUCCAAUCUCAAAUCUCAUAGGUGAAGGGCUACCCCGCCCUUCGCCCCAACUCACGUCCCAAUCCAAUAGGUGAGGAGCUACCCCGCUCUUAUCCCACACGGUGAGCUACCCGCUCAUGAGCUACCCCGCUCGUGUGACAACUCCGGAGUGCACUGCUUGUGUGGAGCGACCACCCCAAGCCCAAACAGACUAUGUGAGUCUGAUCCAAUCCUCGCCCACUGAGGAUACCCUGUCAACUAGGGUUAACAAACACACAGGAAUCCACCUAUCCCUAUGUUCAAUGCCAUAGUGUCUCAACUACACCAAAUUCUCAUGCAAUGUGUCAUAAUUAGGGAAAUCCACCUAUCCCUAAAUUCACCAUUGCUAAACCUAAGUUUAACACUUUUGGUCCAAUGUUACUCACCUCUUAACCUAGGUUUACUUGACUCUAGGUUCAAUCCUCGACCUAAGUUUACACAUUAGGUUUAAUGCCACACGUUUACAUCCUUAAGUUGUAAGUGUCUCAACCACAUUAAUUUACAUGCCACUCGUCCAAGUCAUAAGUGUUUCCAUACACUAUUUCACAUGUCAUCGGUUUUUAUCAUCACAUGAUCAAGUCACCACUUAUCUUAUCGCCAUAGGAUUCUAUGUCACCACAUUUUUAUUCUCAUGCACCCUAAGUUCACAUGUCAAGCCUCAAUGCUACAUUACCAAGGAAGCAUGCAAGAAUGAAAAUGCGACUAUCCAAACACCCUAUCAUGCAUAAUGCUAACUCGCAAGAACAUGAUCAACACUGUAACUCGGACAUAGAAGGAAGCCCAGUUGCUUCGGGAUGACACCCCCCACCCUUAGGUGAUGCCGCGAGUCCACGAAUACGAUCUCGUGAUUUUUGGAAGCCUACGCCGCGUGCUGCGGCAAUCUGUACCAAAACAGGCCUUUCCUUCGACUUCUUUGCAUAGGCUCAACGAAUCGCCGAAUCGACUUCGCUAGCGCGUCAAAAAACCUCAAAAGCUAGCUCCAAACUCAAGGAAGAAGAUGAAGAAGAUGAAGCUCCACUUCCUUGUCUCCUUCUUCACCAAUCUCUCAUCCUUUCCACCUUGAAGAGAGAGAGAAUGAGAGAGCUUAGAGAGAGAGAGGAAAAUAUUUUGGGUUGCAAGUGUGAGAGAGAGAGAGAGAGGAAUAAGCUCUUUCCACCUCCCUUUUUAACCCUAUUUGCAUAAAAUGCCAAAAGCCCCCUCAACAAUGCAAUUCCCCCACAAAAUACCAUAGUGCCCUGCUCAUUCUGGGCAUUUUCGGGCUUCGGGGACCGGUCCUUGGCUUUAGGGACUGGACCAUGUAGGUCCAAAAAUUCUGCACUUCCAGACUUAGUCAAAUUUCAGCAUUUUCGCCAAUUUUGGUCCGUUUUCACUCGUUUUUGCUCCGUGGGUCUCCGAUUCGCCUCAAAUUGCACCGAGACUCCCAAAACAUGUUUUUGAGCGCGUUCAAACCAUCUUUCCAUCCUUGCCGAAUUUAGUCCACGGUCCGACAUAGCCUUUCGGGUUCCGUUUUAGCGCACAACGCGUAUCGGAAACGCCCGAAUGCUCCCGAACUUUGCCGGAAUCAUUCCAAUGGCUUUCCAAACUAACAUACACCGUAACUUCAUAACUUUAGAAGUUCGAAACCUUACACUUACCAGUUAGGAAAGUACCUGGAAGUAAUGCAAAGCGUGUAUAUUAGUUCAUAAUCGUGCAAACUAUAUUAUUUCGCAUCGUUGUAAUAUACAAUAGUGCAACAGAUUUAUAUAAUGGUGUGAAAUUUGGUAUAUUGGUGCAAGAUCGUCCCAUUCAAUCCAAGUAGCGACCUGCAGUGCUUCCGGAAUGCAUGAAUUGAUACACCGAAUGCCCAGAAAAAUCGGUGAAAAUGACCGUCGUCUUGGUAAAGUAGCUGAAGACAUGCAUCUGCAUCACCCAUCCUCAGCUCUCAUAUGUUCGACGGAAGUGGAGCGAACGAGCCCUCGAAAUCUCCGUGAAACUCUUGAAGGAUUCUUUCUCUGGCCCGAUAGGCUUUCCAGUAAGAAAUUCUGACGCCGUGCUGGCGCAGAAUCUCGGUCUGAACAAUUUUUGGCGUGUAUUUCUCGUUUGCCACGACCUGCUCCCUAACAAAAGAUGCGAUAAAUUUUUCAUCGCAAUUCCUGUGGCCCAAACCCUUAUUGCCCGGCUAUAAGUGUGUUUUGAAACAAAUUUCUUCACCCACCAUUGUGUAAGUCCUGGUAGGUGACGCACCUUUAUUCUCCACGGGCAAUCUGCGAUAUGACAUCUCGCGGUUAUCUUAAGGUCGUUGCAUUUGGUGGAGGCGUACUCGAAACCUCAUUUCAUUGCGUAUGCUUUGACAUCUCUUUUGAAGUCGACUUACAUUUUGUAGAGCUGGCCCUCGUGGACAUCGUCCACAUCUGCGACGGUUCCAGCUGACUCCAGCGUAGCGCUAUUGACAAUGAGGUCUUCUUCUAUCUCGUCGUCGUUGAAUUCCUUAGCCGUAAGUCCCAUUGCGUUGCUUUUGCGCAAUGGGACAACAUCCAUGGCGUUGUACGUCCGAUGAAAUCCGGAAGAGGACGCGACGAUACGGAUGCUAUCGUCGGAAUCCAUCUCGUCUUUCAUAUCAACGAUACAAGUACCUCCGUCAAUGUUUGCCGCGUCGUCGAUGAGAAUAGGAUGACAGGAUCUGCAAUACCAGUGCAAAGCAAGUACUGCAGUGUAAUGAGUUAGUAGUGUAAAAAAAUAAUGCAAUCAUUAAAUAUAAAGUACUUUCGGGUGCAACAGUUACAACCUAAUGGUGCAAAAGAGUACCAAUAGUGCAACUUACGAGCCAACUAGUUCAAAACUUGGCGGUUGAGGCGUAGAUGCAUCCGCGGACUAGCUGCUAAUCAACAAUUCCAGCCGUUCGUCGGUAAACGCCUCGUUUAUCUCAUCGGGAUCACAUGUAGGAACCUUUCUCUCAACUACGUUACUCACGACAUACAGUUCCAUCAGAAAUGCGUGAUUUUUAUAGAGUCUCGAUAUGUUUCGGACAUCAUUGUCGUCUACAAUAUCGAUGAGUUUGCCGAUUUUUCCCACUGUGGCGAAGUUUAAUUUCGAUCUUACAGCUCUCCAGUGAAGUGUUCAUGAAUUUGAAGAACCGCACUCGCAGGGAAUUAAAACUCUCCCUUUGCCCGAUGAAAGUGAGCCGGCAGGACCCUCCUACAUACUUGACAUUUCUUCCAUCCUCCUGAAAGAAGCCAUUAAAAUGGCAGUGCACUGGAACUUCAACGUUAUCCAUGAGUUGGAAGCAAUACACUUAGCUGAUAGUAGUUCAAUACCACUCUUUUAUAAAAAUAUAAUCCAGUUAACUUGCAUGAGUUGGUAAGUUUUGCAAAAGUCGGAAAAUAGUAGGUCCGUUCCCGCCAUAAAUCAUUUCCGACAACUCUGCAUACAACAUUGGCAUAGUCUUCGAUCUCGGCAAUUAUUAAUAAAACGACGCAUCUCUUGCACCAUUUUGGCGGAUUAUCACAAUGCUUGCGAGCAUGUUACACUAUUGUGUUAUCCAUUGCACCGAUAUUUCAAAUUGCCGUGCUACAUUUCUGUUUUGGUAUUAGCGUCAUUUUUCAACAGUACCUCAAUAAGAAAUAUCAUCAGCGACAUCAUUAAGAUUAUGUUCUAUCCUCGAAAUACGUUGUUGUAUCAUAAGGGCAAUGUCAAGGAGCUUUUCUCCGCGGGAAGGGAAAGCAGUGGUUACAGAACCUAAUGACUACAAACGCCUUUCUACUUUUUAGCCAACGGUUCUUCAGAUGCAUUCCCCGUUGCAUUACUACAUAUAAAAAAAGGACGUAAAGGUGACAAGGGCAACCGGGGGGGUUGCGGAAGGCGCCAGAGCCGAAGGAGGCAACGGCAACGAUGCUACUGUUCGUCCAGGAGGUUUAGGCGACGAGGGGAGAGAGCAGAAGCAGAGUUCGAGGAGGAGGCGGCUCGCUCGAAGGGGUACCAUCCUGCAACGAGGCUUUAAGAUUGAUUCGCACUAUCUGAAGUGCUUUAUUUGCCUCGAGCCCAUUGGCCCUCUUCUCUUCUAGGUUCUUAAAUUCGUAUAGAUCUUUAUUGUUAUUGAUCGAUUUUAAUAUUUUACUGACUAUACUGUCUGUUUCAUGGUAGAGCGAAGAUCCAAAGGGCUCUUAGCAAAUAAAGCUCUCGAGAUAGUGCGAAUCUAUGUUAACCCCUCGUUGUUCGAUAGUACCCUUCCGAGCGAACCGCCUCCUCCUCGCAGUCUUUUUCGACUCUCUCCCCUGGCCGCCAAUACCUGUUCUUGUCGGCUCCGUGCGUGUGGGAUUGCAGACAAGCUUAGAUGAUUCCAUACUUCUGUUAAAUAAUUAUUUUGAAGAGUUUGUUAUAGUUGAUGUAAUAGAACGUUGUAUUGUAUGCAAAUCUGUCUUAUACGUUGUAUUUUCGUCAAAAACAAUGUAAUCUUUGGGACAACAUUGAUAGAGAGAGCAUUUUAUUACAGUUGAUGUAAGAAAACGUUGUAUUAUAUACAAAUCGUGUCUUAUAUGUUGCAUCUUCGUCAAAGACAAUGUAAUCUUUGGUACAAUAUUAAUAGAGAGAGCAUUUUCAAUAGUUAGUGACGACUUGCACUAAAUAGAGCUGCAUAUUGUACCAUUUUAUAUUGGGUUGCACUACUAAGUUAAAAAAAAAUAAUACAGCCAGUGUUCCUGUAACGUAUCAUACCCCCGUAAGUUAUGCCGAGUUCUGUCAAAAUGCGCGGAACGCGGAGUGGAACAAGUUGGUAUGGGCUAAAAGUGCAUUGGAGCCCAUAAGAAGAGGUUAGGGACCCGAGAGAGCAAGAUUGCAAAAUCUGGCUAAGUCCCAGAUUUUGGGCUCUCGAGGACCGGUCCCUGAUGGAGAGACCGGUCCCCGUACACGUAGCUUGCCCUUAAUCCUGAGGCAACCGGUCCCUGGGUGUGAGACCGGUCCUCGGGAGACCGGUCCCUGAGCUUCCUUACUCCAUUUAUUUCAAGGUUUUGGCUUAUCAACAUUCUCGACCUCUUCGAUAGGAUGUUUCCAUCCAAAUUCAAUAGAUUGCCAAACUCGCUCAUCGAUGGCAAUUAAAAAAGCUCUCAUGCGAACUUUCCAAUAAACAUAGUUUGUGCCAUCAAAAAGCGGAGGUCGAUUAGUGUUACCACCUUUACCUAUAAAGAUAGAUAAAUCUAGAACCUGCUCUGAUACCAAUUGUAGGUUAUGGGAACCCUAAGAUCUAUCUAGAUACUAUCAAACACCUAGAGGGGGGGGAAUAGGUGAAUAGACAAAAAAAAACACAAAUCUCAAUACGAAAAAAGUAAAUACGGAAAAUAAAAACCACAUCGAGAUUUACGUGAGAAAACUCUAAUUUGGAGUAAAAAAAUUCAUGGGACCAACACGCGAUAACAAUCCACUAAGAAAUAAAAGAUUACAAGGUGAUUACCGAAUCCAUGGACUCAAAUCUGUAAGAUAUUGAAUCCUCAUAGUAAUAAUCCACUUUUGGUCAAAGUGACCAAAGUGUGGCGAGAUGAAUACUUGGACAUAUUUCAUUUAACAUUCCAACUAUGUUGGAAGGGUUAAAGUUGAGUUCCAAAAGAGUUAGAGAGGUUUUAGUAUUGCUUGGCGCGAAUUGAAGUCGAAACAAUGCGAGAAUCAAAUCUAGAGCAUUGUGAACCGGUGACAGCCCAGGGGUGUCACCGGUACACUACAGAAAUCGAGAGCAGAGUUGCUCUCGGGUUAGCCUUUGUCAAGGUUGUUACCCGGUGAUAGACCAAAAUAGUACCGGUACCAGACUGCUGAUAGAGAAGGCUACUCUCGGGUUGCUGCUGCGCAAUCGUUAAACCGGUGACAGAUUGCCCAUGUACCGGUACCAACUGCAGGAAACUGCAGGUUAGGUUUGUUGCAAUUUAGGAAUGUUUCAGGGGCUUUUAUGUAAUUGUGGCAGCUUAUACAAGGGCCCCAACUCUCCCUCUCUUGUUCACAGCCAGAGACACCUCUACUUGUGUUUCUUUUCUCCUUUUCUCUCUUUAAACUCUUUUCUUUCUUUCUCCAAGGGUGAAAUAGGAGGGAAUUGGUGGAGAUUGAAGCUUGAAGUUGGAUCUUCGUCUUCUUCAUCUUCUUCUUCGCUGUUGGAGAAAGUUUUUGAGGUAAGCUUUAUAGAGCUUUAAUGGUAGAUUUCUAGGGUUGAUGUUUUAUACCUUAGAAAUGGUUUUUACGGAACCCCUAGAUGCUAAGUAGGUGAUUAUUGCUUGAAUCGCGAAGUUAUACGUCGGAUUCUUGCAAUAGUUCCAACCUAGGGUUCUAAAAUGGGUUUUGUAAAGUAGAGAUCCAAGGUUGGGAUUGAUCUCUUUUGUACCUAUUUACUAGGUAGUUUGACGCGCUGGUGAAGACGGUUCGGCGAUCCGUCGAGCCUGCGCAAAGAUAUUAGCAAAAAGGGUGUUUCGGCUUCGUUUCUGCCUGGAGAGCCGAGGCAACGUCCUAAGAUCGCGAAAUUUGAACCUUAGCUUCGUGGCAUCACCAGAAGGUGGGGGGUGUCAUCCCGAAGCAGUUGGGCUUCCUUUUAUGUCUAAGUCAUAUUAUCGAUCAUAUUUCCAUAUAUGUACUUAUGCAUUAUAGGAUGUUGUAUAGUUAUAUUUCUACUUCUUUGCAUGUUCCUUAGUAGUGUAGCAUUGUGAGCUUGACACCAGAACCUAGGGUGCAUGAGGAUUAGAUUUGGUGACAUGAAAUCCUAUAGUGACAAGAUAAGUGACAACUUGAACUUGAGAUGAUGAUAAUAGUUGACAUGGAAUUAGUGUAGUAGAGGCACUAUAACAUGAACGAGUAGCAUGUAAACAAGUUAGAACACUUACAAUAAAUGAUUUGAAUGAGUGGCAUCGAAUCUAGUGUAGUAACACAUUAUGACAUGAUUCUAGGGAUAGUAGAGUUCCCGAUUGUUGUAUUAUGCGUUUGGAAUCAGUGCGGUAGAAGCACUAUGACCCUUGUAGAUAGGGUAUCCUUUUGUGAGGAUUGGAUCAUACUCACUAGUCUGUUUACACUUGGCGUGGUCGCUCCACCCAAGUAGUGGUCUCCGGAGUACUUCACGACAGGGGUAGAUGUAGUUGUCCCGUAGAUGGUCUGGAUGUGCGAGUGCAGAUUCUCCUCAUCUAUGAGAUUGAAAGGUGAGUCGGGGCGAACCUUCGGGCUAGCCAAGUUGAUUGAGUAAUGAACAUGAAUAGCAUAGUAGAUUUGCAUUCAUACCAUAAGUGGAUAUAGUAUAUGUUAGUAGAUUGCAUAACUAUGUUUGUAUCUAUAUCCAUGAUAGUAAGUUUGUUGCUAGAUGGACACUUCAUGCAUUACUUAGCAUUUGAAGGCAUCGUAGAAUGUAGCAGUUCAUUUCUUUAUAUCUAUCUAUCUAUCUAUCUAUCUACUUAUGCCUGCUUAGACUUAGUGGGAAGAUCGGCAGAGUCGGCGGCCGAACCCACUGGGAACUAUAUUUAUAUAGUACUUACCCCACUUUGUUGCAGGGCCGAGUUCGAGCGGACCGGGCGAGGACCGCGGUAAGGGCGUAGCGCCCUAGUAGCCAGUGGCUUCCUUUUUGCAUUAGAGUAUCCCAUGUGUAUAGAGAUGUUGAUAUGUAUAUAUUGGAGAGCUACUCAUGUUUAUAGAUGUUGAACUUAUAUACACAUUUUGGAGAUGUGAAUGUAUUAUGUGGAUGUUGUAUGAAAAUGUAAUAGCUAGAUGUUUUUUUUUUGUUCACUUGUAUAUUUACUUGUGUCUGGCUCUUACUUGUUUAGCACUUGUGGUGCUUCAUGUAUAUUGUUUAAGUUACCUGGGCAACUUGAUGUUCAUGACUCUGUUUGUUAGCCUUCGGCGGACAGAUGAGGUGCUGUCCGUUCGGCGUCUGUUCGACGUGCCCGAACCGAGCAAACUGGCGCUUGUGGGGCGUGACAAAAUCUCUAUUUUAUCUUCUCUGGAUCUCGUGCACGUCGCCGGGUUGUCCACGCCCCACGUUCGAAUCCACGAGACGCCUAACUUCGAAUCCACGAAGCCUUGAUCACGCCGAAUCAACGACGCCCACUCGAAUCCACGAGUGCACUCCGUCUGGAGCAAGAACAAUAUGAUUGGUGAUGAUUUAUUGCUUAGCAUAUCAUUAAAGAUCUGUGGAAAUAAUCGCUAGCAAUUCUCAAAUUGAUUCUAGAAGAACAUUAAGAAUUAGGGCACCGAGAAUCAAUUUGAGAGAAGCUUGUUGUAGAAGAUGAGGAAAACGACAACCUACAAGGUUCUAGGGUUUCUAAAAGAUAAUCUAGGCUUAACCAUCUUUUAGUGACACCCCCACAUCAUAUUUAUAGGUUUAGAAGACAUUAGAAAUAGAUUAGGAUUGAAAAACCAUAUUUGGAAACUUUGUAACCAUAUUUGGAAAACGCACGUCGGGUUCAGGGCCCGGACCUUCCAGUAGGGUUCGGAUCAUGAAACUCUGGAUCUUGAUCCCAAGGUCCGGACCCUCCCUGCGUAACAACAAAACCUACAUAGGGGUUUUGGACCCUGGAGGCAAGGUCCGGACCCUCGCUACAUAUCAGUCAGGGAGGCCUACGAGUUCCGGACCUUGCUUUCAGGGUCCGGAUCCUAAACCUUGAAAAUCUUAGUUUUGAAGUUUUAUUAAAUUAAACCCAUUCUAAUGUCUUCCAAACACAUGUAAAUGAUCAUAAACCAUUAUCAACAUUAUUUAAACUUACCAAACAUUGUGGAUUCAUGUUUUGAGUCUUCGAGUCUUCGAUCUUCGUCUCUUCUUCUUUAAACCUUCAAGACUCCGACUUAUUUCACGAAAUAUGCUAACUUAAAAUCCGUAACAGCUCCGUGGCGUUGCACUAUUAUUCUUGUUGCGGCCCGCAUAGUUCUAGUCAUUUAGCUUCAGCAAAUUUAAUUUCUUAAAGCCGUGAUUUAGCUUCAACAAAUUUAAUUUCUUAAAGCCGAACAGCAAACACCGAGGCUGGCGAAUAGCGGGGCUAAUUUGGUCCGGAUUCUGAUGAGAGCGAGGUUGCGUAAAGCGCAAGGGGCACAUUUAAUGCCCGCCAAGACCGUACGUUAGGGUAUACAUAUCUCACGAAAUACGCGAGCGGCGGAUGUAGACGAGGGGCAUUUUGGUCAGACGACUGAAAAUCCGGCCCGAAUCUGCAAAAUCGAAAAAGGUGGCCCACUUUUGCAAAAGCGCAAAACUCGUGGAUUUUUUAUGCAAAUUGGCCUUUAUAUUGAUCAACCAUUAAUAUUUCUAUUAAUCUAAUUAAUUAUUUUACAACUUAUCUAGCUAAAAUAAUUUACUAAUUAAUUAAAAAGUUAAAUUAUUUUUAUAAUUAAUUAAUUAAUUAAUAUAUUUUUAUUAUCUUGUACAAUAUUCAUAGCUAAUAAAUUUAUUAAUUUAUUAAAUUAUUUUUAGUAAUAUUUUGAUGUUAAUUAAUUAGAUAAAAUAAUUUUAAUUUAAAAUUAUAACUCUUAUUCCCAUUGUUCCAAUCUAAUCAUCCAAAUGCUAUUUACCUUACUCCUAAGAACAACCCAAUUUUCAUUCAAAUAUAAAAUUAGUCUAGUUCAUCAUACUUAUACCUGAACUUGUAUCUAUCCCCGCAAUAAGCAAUUCUUGCUUAUAACCAAAUCAAACGCAGCCUUAGUGCUUGUAAAUUUUUCACCGUUAAAUCUACAUUUUUGAUCAUUUUCGCUCGUUAGAUCAUACUAUUCAACCGACCAUCCACUCAACCCUAGAGGGGACCACUAUCAUCCUAACUGGGGACCACUACCAUCCUAACUGCACAUCCUUUCAUCCAACGACAAAAAACUUAUGAGUACAAAAUGGUCUAUGCUUAUAAGAGUAUAGUAGCCCUACUUUAUAUAUAGAGAGUUUGAUAAAGAGCAUGUUUGUUUCACCGAAAUUGGAAUUUAGGUUGAAGUAGACUUUGGGCUGAAGUGGAGUAUGGUGAAAACUACUACUUCUCCACUAUUUGUUUCGUAGUUAUGAAAGUGAAGUUUCAUUAGUUUUGCUGUUUGUUUGGUAAGAAGUGUAUGAUAUAAAACUAAAAUUUAUUUAUAAUUAAUAAAUAUUUUAAUAAAUAAAAAUAGUAUAAUUAUAUUUUUAUAUAAUUAAAAUUUAAUUUAAAAUAAUUAAAUUAUUUUUUUAUACAUAAAUUAUAGGAAAAACUUCAAAUACCACCCUUGUGGUUUCACACUUUCUCAUUUUAGUACCCUGUGGUUUAAAGUGUAUCAAUUUAGUGUCUUGUGGUUUCAUUUUUUUUUUUAUUAUCGAUUCCACUAAUUUUUUCCGUUAAAUCAGUGACAAAGUUAAAACUAAAAUAUACUAAAGUGAAUAUUUGAUAAACCUGGGGUAUCUGAAGUUUUUGUAUAUAAUUUAACGAAAAAUUAAUGGAGAAGCUGACGAAAAGAUAAAUAUGAAACCACGGGAAAUUAACUUGAUAUACUUUAAACCACAGGGUAUUAAAGUGAGAAAGUGCGAAACCACAGGGGUCGUAUUUGAAGUUUACCCUAAAUUAUAGUAAUACAACAAUAAAAUUAUAAAGUAAAAAAAUAUUAAUCAAGUUUUAUCAUAUUUUAAUUGUACAAAUUAAAUAAAGAAAAUGUUAAUAGAACUUAACUAAUCAAUUUUUAUCAUAUUUUAAAUAUGCCAACUAAAUAAAAGAGUAAUUAGUAACAUAAUUAAAUAUAUUUAAAUAUAACUAUCUUUACCUAGUAUAUUAUUUUAUUAUUUUUUCUUCACAUCUCUUCACCGUAAUUGACUUCGGCCCACGAUAGGUCAAAGUCAAUUACGCCGUUCUUCGGCCCACGAUAGGCCGAAGUCAAUUACGUCAUUUGAGGUUAACUCGAGUUUCAACCAUAACUUUUUUACGGCAAACCAAACAACAGAAGUGAUCGUUUAAGGCGAAAACGACUUCCUUCCUCUCCACUUUCACCCUACUUCCACCCAAACAAACAUACCCUAAUGGUUCUUGGAAACACCAAGGUGUUGGUGCUAUAACAAGUUUGGUCAUUGAAUCAGCCCUAAUGAUUCUUGUAUCACGCACUACAAUUGAUCCCACAAAUAAUCAUCAUUGUUGACUUUUGAUCAAAUGACCAAAAAAGUAGAUUCAAAAAUUAAAAAAAUUUGGUCCAUUUAGAAGUUUUUCAGCUCAGUUUAUAGAUAUAUAUUCGAGUGAUAUCACGCCGAACACAAGCAAAUUGACUUCAGCUCGUGUUGAGCUCGUUUGUUAAACGAAUGAUCGAUUUUUAGCUCAUUUUUUAGCCGAACACGAGCUUGUUCACGAAUGGCGAGCUGAAUUGCCAACCCUAAUCCCGACUAGUUUGGCAAAAGGGUAGUUAGUAGAGAAAUUGAUGAGUUGUAGUUCCGAAGGUGAUUUUGCAAAGAGGACAUGCUGGAUGGUGGGGCCAUCUCCUUUUGAACAGAUUUUCUUCAGUAAGGAUGCUAACAUAGCUAAUCAGCCAAAGAAGAAUUUUCAUAGAGGCUACCGAGGCUUUCCAGAGCACUUUGUACGAAGGCUUCCAGAUGCCACCGAAGCUUAAUACCUUGUAAGCCGAUUUAAGGGAAAAUUCCCCUUUUUGAGUUCAAACACCAAAAGAUUUUGUCCUCCAUAUCAUUUAAGUAUCGUGCUAAUCAAUUCUUCUUAUAGGGUAGAGAGCUAGGAUGUUGUAAUUGGCGAGAGAGAUCCAUAUGUCCCUAAUCUAGUUAUUUCUUGUGAGCAAAUUUACAACUAUUCCAUCCUUGGUAUUGGCAAAUGACAAUAAAUCAGGGAAUCGAUUCAUGAGAGCCAAGGGUUAGCAGAUCAUAGUUGUUCCUUCGACUUGUCGGAUAAGUAGAAAAUAAGAAGAUAUAGAUAGUUUUACAGAUGUUUCUCCAAAGAGGGGAGGGAGUUGCAUUGGCCGGUGCUUUGUCAAUACAUGGUUUCCUCCUCCCAUAGUACUUGUCCAUUAUGAUUCUAACCCAUGGAGCCUCUUGCUUAUUGUAUCAAAAAUCUUAAAAGGUAUAUGAAGUAGAAAGAUUAAAAAGGCCUUAGGGUGUGCAGCGAAGUCGCUAUCCUUAAGGCUUAAUAUGUUUCCACCGUUCGAACAAUUUAGUGUACACUGGGUCAACGAAUAACCUUCCAGGAUACAAUGAAGCAUAAACCUGAAACUGCAUUUGCACACAUAAAGUCAGACCUUUGAGCGCUCAUUCGAUUAAGUUGUCAAAAAAAUAAAAUAAGAAAUAAGAAAGAAAUUAUUAUGAAUAGAAAACUUUUAAUCUGUAUUUCAGCAAUCAAUGUUAUGGGCUUAUAUAGACCAAGAACUGGUGCUACUUGAAGUGAUACUUUAUAAACGGUUGUUUCGCAAGGUGAUUUUUUAAUUUGUGACUUUUUAUUUGAUUAUAAAUACUAAUUAAUUACUAGUGCACACAUGAGUGAAAUUCAAUGAAUGCAAGAAUUAAUUCUAAUGAACAUAUGCACGAAGGGACACUAUAAAGUUAAUUAUGUCUUUUUCAUGGCUAGUCCUUUCGCUAAAAGUCACAUCCUUUCACAUUUAUUCACUAAAAAGUGCAUCCAUUCAUUAGAAUUCAAAGGAUAAAUUAAAUAAAUAUAUUAUUUUAAAAAUUUUCUUACAUUGCUGAUGUAAGAAUCUCCCACACCACUUUACUCUUAAUGCUGAGACAUUGUUCUCUAAUUAACCGUGCAAUGAGCAUCGUUGAUUGAUAUUUGGCCUUUCUACAAGAGAGCACUUCGUAAGUUGUCAAGUCUUUUUAUGACCCAAUUCAGAAGCAUAAAGAUUGAAAGAAAGUAAGAGGGGAUUGAGGACAGGGAUAGGUUGACAGAUGCUAAUUGUCUACCUCUCCACAAUAGUUUUCCUUCCCAUUUGGCAAGGCACAUUUUCAUUUUGUUAAUAAGAGGAAGAUAGUGUUGCCUAUUUAUUACGUGAGGGGAGAAAUGGAGGCCAAGGGAGGAAAUAGGGAACUUAUCAUUUCUACAACCAAAUAUAUUGACCAAAAACUCACCCGGGGAUCAAGAGAGCUUUCUAAAAAGUUAAUAGCUAAGCCUGAGCAAUUACGGAAUCCUAACAGUGACAGUUUGGCUCUAGGUGGAAGAUGAGCGAGUCGUUGGAGGAAUGUGGGAGCAUCGUGUUAAUUUCUUCUAGACCAACGCUAGUUAUAAUAUGCUCCAUGCUCACAGCUUUGUUUUAUAUAUUUUUGUUUCACAUCUACAACGAGAAUGAAUAGAAAAUGAGAUGGUCGGUCCUCUUGCCGCAAUCCUGAGGUUAAUCCAGAAUUUAAUAGUGUCGCGUGCCAAUUGAUCAAUCGUUGCCCAAGCCUGGUGUGUAAUAGAAGAUAGAGUGAGAAACACUGAGACUACAUUAAGGGCUUGUUUGGUUCAUCCAUUUUGGGUAUGGAAUGGAAAUCGGUUUGAUCAAAGCCGGUUAAUUUUGUUUGGUUCGCAUGAAUUGGUUUGGGAUUCCUAUUCCGGACUGGAAUGGGAAUGACCCAUUAGCCUUCAACUUGAUUCCAGUCUUCUAGCCCGGAUUGAGAUUUCAUUCCGGAAGCCCACUAAGUUCUCGAAGCUCAUGUGACCAUCUCACCCUCCUUCUCUUCACCCUUUUCUCAUCAAAAAAAAGAGAAUCCAUCAUCUCUCAAAACCCUAUCCCUAACCCACAUCAAUAAAAGUUUUUAAAAGUAAAUUUGAUAUUUUUUUUUGUAAAACUUAUUAGAGAAUAAUAUUAUAUUUUUCAUAAAUUUUAAAUAAUAUGAAUUUAUAUUGAGAGUAAAAUUAGUAUUAUAGUAUCCUAUAAUUUUUUUAGUUUAUACGAACCAAACAAUAAAAUAUGAAUAACUUAUUCCAAUUCCCAAUCCACAAAUAAACCAAACGUCUUGAGGGAGUGGGCCAUUCCAAUUACCAUUCCAAUUCAUUCCCAUUCCAUUAUCCAUUCCAAUUCCACCCUUAACCAAACAAGCCCUACAAGCUUUUUGGAAGUCUAACGCAAGCAGUUCUUUCAUGUCAAAUAAUGGUGAAAAAGCACACGGGCUGAUAGAAAAUUGUCAAGUAUAUAUCUCCUUUUUGAAAGCUCUCGAUGGCAAUCGAUUAGUAGUUCCAAAAAUAGUUGAAUUCUUGUAGCUAUUAAGAGAGAGCAUACGUGAGCAAAAAUAGUUGAAUUUUUGAAAGCUCACGGGCUUAUAAGUCGAAGUUCGGUUGUAGACUUGGCAUUCUGAGGUUUUGGUAUAAAUACCAGUGAACAUAAAUUAGCUCUAUGCAAAUUAGUCGACCUUUGAUGGAAUGCACUAUAGAAGAGCAUCAAAUGAUCAUCUGCAACAAGGUCUCAAAACACCUGAAAGAGGGGGGGCAUCCAAUUGUAUGUGGUAGUAAUACUGAUAUAACCAAUCCAGUCUGAUCUGACCAGCCAUGAUGUCAUCUGGCACAGCUCCUAAAAGUGCCUGACAAAUAUCCGACCACGGGUGCAGUGUAGUACCAGUCACGGGCUCACCAUCCACAUGAAGACCAGAAAUAACCGCAAUAUCAUGAAGUGUAAUUGUAAUUUCACCAUGGCGGAAGUGGAAAGUAUGUGUCUCUCGUCUCCAUCUCUCAAUCAUAGCUCCUAACAAAACCUGAUCUAGCUGCACGUGCCUAAGAAGUGAUAUGUAGUAGAAUCCGGCUUGUCGUAGAAGAUCGAGCAACGCUGGAUGGUUAAGAUCCCACUAGUUUAACUUGCGGCCAUGCUCUAUGAACUGAACAGUACAAUACCCCUAUAGUUAAAAAAAUAGUUAGAUCAUCAUUUUUAUUUAUUAAUUCUAUGAUAAACUUUCAUUUAAAAUUUUUGGCUCUCAUCUCACUCCUGAUAAAUCCAGACAUAUGGAGAUGCUUCUCUGUCAGGACCGACGAAUCAACUGGUCCUGCGUCCUCUAGAUCUGCCAUCUGCUUUAAAAGUUUUGCAAUUACUAUCAUAUUAGGUAACAAGUCCUACAUCGGCGUCCUUGUUGGGCUCUCUGAAUUUGGUGGACAGGUGUUUCUAUAAUGGUCUUGUUUACAAAUGCUACAUUUCUUUCGUCGUCCUGCUCUUUCAUCCAUUAUAUUACAAAUACAUGUAGAUCGUGGGCAACCUUUCUUCCUUCUCAUGAAAGGCGAUACAAUUAGCAGGCCCUGGGAUCGUGGUUAGUGUCGCCUAUCUAGAACAUGAUGAAAAUAUGGUGCAUAUGUCUCGCGAUAGUAAUCAACCCCCCCCCCAACAAUACCAACAGACAACAAAGAAAAUAGAAGAAGAGUCCAGGAGCUACCUGCACGUCAGCGAGGUUGAGGUCUGCGCAUGUUGACAAUGAAAAAUAGUCACAGUGGGAAGGAAGAGAGAGAGAGAGAGAGCAAUGUGGGCCGCAGAAAGCGACGGCAGGGACGAUGGGGACCGACAACCGGGGGGGCAACGUCGACACGGGCGACGGCGGGGGCGGCGACGACCGACGAGUGCUCCGGAAGAAGAAGAGGCAAAGAGAGAGAGAGAGAGAGAGAGAGAGAGAGAGAGAGAGAGAGAGAGAGAGAGAGAGAGAGAGAGAGAGAGAGAGAGAGAGAGAGAGAGAGAGAGAGAGAAGUCGAGACAGCUUGGAGGUGGGUAUACCUAAUGAAGGCGGUGAGUGCUUCACCGCCUUAUGAAUCCAGUGAAUGGUUAACCACCUUCACCCGUUCACCGCCAUUCACCACCAUCUCAAGGCACUUUUCCCGUCUUAAUAAAUGCGGUGAAAAGCUCGGGUAUUAUGAUUACGAUGAAAGGCCACAGAUAUUAUAAAGGCGGUAAAUCGUUCACCGUCUUAGUGAAUGUGGUGAACAAUUCACCGCAUUUAGAAGGGUUGUGACACUUUCCGAAUGCGGUGAACGAUUCACCAUAUUUAGAGAAAAAUUCCUAUAUAGCUCCUACAUGGCGUAGAGAAGGUUAGUUUACCAAAUAUAAAAUUGACAAAAUUAUUUUGCAAAUUACAAAAUUUUACAGGGUUAUUUUGUAAAAAUGUCCAAGCUAUUUUUUCAGACUGACAUCCAUAAUGAACACAUUGCCAAUUUACAAACAAAGCUGACUGCUGAGAAGCAUACAUUUCUGCAAAUUUUAGUAGGUUGGCUCAAUAGAAUCAUAAACCACCAUAAGCAAUAGUCCAUGCAGAGAAACCUCCAAGUAAAUUCGGCCGAGCAAAAACUGCAUUCCGCAAUGUUUGGGAAUAAGCCAUCCUUCGACAAAGGGACAUCGAAAGAGAAAAAUUGCUGUACUUAUAGAACCAAAUAUUAUUUCAGUGUAUUCUUCAAACAAUUGUGAUAAAAAUAUACAUCAGUUUCACAAAGCUGAUAAGUUCCGACGAUUCAACCAACCAAUCAAUACAUAACUAGUACAAUGCGGACGGCCAGUGCUAGCAGCAGCGUCGCCUCAUAUGGGAGUCUCCUCGUAACCAGGAUUUGGUACACGCAUGAUUAGUAACCAUUAAUAAUGUACAAAAGAACUCAUUAAUGCUGUUCGCUUUGCUAUCUUAUCUACAUGAAAACAUUAUGAUGUGAUUGGCUGGUUACCAAUUCUAUGGGCAAUUGCAGUUAGCUAAUGCACUUUCUCCUCAUAUGAUGCUAUAUGAUGAUAACUAAUAUACGAUAUCGACGGGCUAAUGAAGGGCAGCAUAUCAUCAUUGCUCACCAUCUGCCUCCAACUGGUUUCUGUAUACAGGAUUGGUCCCCAUGAAUUCGUGCAUCUUUUUACACACAUAGAUGUAAUGCGAAUCUGGAUCUUCAAGAACAUAACCAGCUGGAAGUUGACCUUUCUCCGUAAGCGGAACAGGUUCCAAGAUAGACUUCUUUGGGCAAGAGACUUCGGUGCUUUGAAAUCCCGGUCUCGCUGUGAACAGAAAACACUUAAUCUGUCUGAGACUCUGAGUAAACACUAUUAUCUCCUCAACAGCAGAAAAUCAAGAAAAUGAACAAAAAGAAAGACUCGGAAUAUGAUGAGACAUCAAAUGCCUACAUCGCUGGGCAAAGAUAGAACAAAGAUUUCACAGUGACCAAAGACAACAGAAAUCUCUCAAAAGUCUGUCCUAUGGCAUCCAAAAAGCUUAAAAGAAAAUCAUCGCUGAAAACCUUGGGCAAGAGGGAUUGAGAUAGUCGUAAAUAACUAAGCAGGGCUUCGGCAAAGUCCUGUUAUCACUAUAGAUCUCAAACAGUGUUCAAGUUCCUAUAAAAUUUGUUGAGUUGCAACAUAGAAUAGGGGGGACACAUAAAACAAAAGCAGCAGCAAAAAAGCUUUAACUACUGGUAAACUAAGAACAUAUUUGUCAUUCGAGAAGAAGGGAACUAAAAAGGAAGGUCUUGCGUACUUACGUAUUACAAAGAGUACAAUUUUCCAACCAUAUCUUGCUUGGUUCAAAUGUGGAAUUCGCACUGAUGGAUCACCGUAAGUUAUCUACCAAGAACAACGAAAAACUUCAUUAACUUUCGACGAAAGAACAAAACAACAUUUGAAUGAGGAUAGUGUAAACUAAGGAUUUACCAACAUGAAGAUCCCGCCAGGUCUAAGUAACCUGUACUCAAAAAUUAUAAAUUAAGCAGCACAUAUAAGAAAGAAAACAACCGUUUAGCAUCCAAUGAGAUGUUAAGGUCUUGGUUGGCGUUUUCUCCUCUUUUUUUUUCCGGUCUUUGUAAGAUGCAAAUUCUAUGUGAUUGGAUGCAAGUCUAUUUUUUCAUUACCAAACAAGCAGCGUAGAUGCAUAAGGUGCAGGUAAUCUGUCAUCCGCCCAUACUCUCCAUCACAUUGAAUUUAUGUGGAAAAAAAAGAAGAAGAAAGAAAACGAUGACAAUAAUACAAACAAGACCUAAGUUUAUUAUUAAACCAACUUCCAAAAGUAGUAGAUCCUGAACCUGCUAACUUCUUCUACCAUUUGGGAGGCACACACCGGAGCAUCUGCACCACACUAACAAUCAAAAUCAUGCUCAAAAGUUAAAAAAAGGACAAAAAAAAUGUUGAAAACGAAAGUUGAUAGGAAAAUAAUACAAUCAAAAUACAAAGCUUACCAUCAAAGAGUCCAGAGUUCCUAAACAAAGGCGAAAUCGCCAAAAUGUAAGUGCAGCACAGAAACAACUUAUACUAGUAUGUAAACACACAAGAUAGGAUAAAGUACAAAAAAGGAAAGCUAGUAAUAGUACUACCUUUAUCGAUGACACAAUCAAAUGAUUCAUCACGAAAGAAGCUCAUAUCCCUUACGUCCAUUUGCAUGUCUGUAAGACAUAAGGAUACAAAAUCAAGUCUAGAUUGUGUUUUCCAAGUUUGAUGAGUUGAUUGUAUUAUAAAUUGAUAGAAUUACUGUAAAAGGAUACACUUCAGCUGUGGAACAUGUGCAUAUUUCGUUCUCAUCAUCUCGAUUACGAUUGAUGAUAUGUCAAUGUUCAUUAUAUCCACAUAACCAUCCUUCACCAUAUCCUCUGACAUAACUUCAGAGCACAUAAACAAACAAAUAAACAAUUUGUAAGCAAUGGAAACUCAUUUCAACAUUUCGUCGAAGUUAAACUGAAUCGAAGACAAUAAAUUGGAAACCUAUCUACUACGUAGCUAUGUAGCUAUGUUCUGUAGUAGAAUAGCGAAUUAAUCAAAUAAUAAUGUAAGAUAUCAGCCCGUUCUACUAGUCACAAAUCAAACAUGGAGUGCAGAGAAUAGUCGCUCAGCCUAGGCCCCCCUUAUUGAUCAAACUCAAAAGAUCAGCUGUCCCAUCAUCCAACCAAACAAGCUACUUUAACCAAAAAGUCGUCUUAACCACAACACAAAAAACUAGAAUUACCAGAAACCAUGUUUGACACUUGAAGGUUCCAAAUCAAUCUUAUAGAGGAGAUAAAACUUUUUCCAUAUUAGAAGUACUACCCAAUAACAUACAAGUGAUAGAUGCCGAAAAAUUUCAGGUCAAGCACUGGUAACAGCUUCCCACAAGUUCAAAGGAGACUCAAAUGGCUAACUAGCAAUGGACCGAGUAGUUCCUUCAGUUGAGUGAAAAAGCGCAUUGGAAUCAGGAAUGAUAAACCAAAUGAAAUCGGUCCUCUACACUACUAACUGUUGCACAGCUAGCCUAGUUCCACAAUAUGAGUGGGCCAGCCACGAAAACAAAGGCCGUCUUCAUAGAUGACUACCACAGCAGUUAAUUGGUAGUGUUGCAUAGGUACCCAUUAAUGCCACUACAUAUGGCUCACGUUCCUCCACAUGGUGUGAGAACAAGCAAUAACUAUAUAGUAUAUACUUUCUUGCACCUUGGUAGUCACUACUUGAGUUGCUAGGAUAACUGGAGUUAUCUUGUUUUCUCCUUGAAGGCGAGAGUAUAAAAAAAAUUUUAGUUUGGGAACCGCUCUAGCCGAUACACUUGGAGACUGAGCACACGUGCAACUACAAGUUCGUGAAAAAUCAAUAUGAUGUGCGGGCACAACUUCAAUUGUUCGAUAGAUCAAGAUCAAUAUGUAGAAUAGAUUUUAGUUUUGCAUAUUGACGACGAGCGUGAUUGUAGGCCCUUUCAUAGUUACUAGGAACAUGGAUUAUAAUGCCAACCCAUGCCGUAGGGCAGGGGGUGACAUGUACCGUGCCUCCAAGAAGGGGGCACGAUACAGGGGGGGCUUGGAACCCCCUCUGUGCCACGGCACAGUGCUGCGUAUCGAGUGAGACAGCUCGAUACGCAGCACCGUGCCAUGGCACUAUGCCGUGCUGGCACACUUUUUUUGUUUUUUUUUUUGCUUUUUGCUUUUUUUGCCUUUUGUUUUAUUGUUUGGGGGUAUCAAGAAACAUCCUAGGUACCUCACACCCCCCCAAAACAUUACAAAUUGAAAAUCUACUUGUUAAGUAAGUCAAAAUAAUUAUUUUAUCAAAUUAUUUUAUCAAAAUUUGUCUCACUGCGAAAUUUUUGGCGAAUUAAGAAAACAAAAUCGAACUCAAUAAACAAAUUUUGAGACACAUCAAACAUAAAAUUUUAUUUUUGCGUUAGAAGAUUGAAAAUACUAAUAAAAUAAAAAACUAAAUAAAAUCAAUUGAUACUUAAAUUUAUUAAAUUUAUUUAUCAUAUAAUUUAUUAAUUAAUUUUUUUGAUAGAUCUAAUAAUUUUUUUAAAAAAUUAAUUAAAAAAUAAUUUUUUUAAUAGUUUUAAAAGAUUUUUUUCAAAUAAUUUUUAAAAUUAUUUGAAAAAUUAUUUUUUUGUAUUUUAUAAAAAAGACUGUAAUAUGGUCGAAAGUAAAAAAGAAAGAAAGAUAUUUUUGCAUUUUAAAAAUCCUAACAUAUAAAAAUUUCUAUUCUGUAUCAGGUAUAGCUGUACUUUACAUACAAAAAAGCUUACAAGUAUGUUAAGUGAUGAGUAUAGUAAGCUAUAAAUAACAAAUAUUCAUAAUUAUUUGAUUAAAUCUUUCAAAAUAACAUUAUAAGAGCUUAUUGGAACUAGAAAAACUGAAAUAAGUCCGUACCAAAGUGUACCAGUAGAAGGUCGUGCGUAUCUAUCGGCACACAACCGUACCAUGUGUCGGCACGGAAGCGUGCCGAUGCCGUACCAUGCCAGGCAUGACUAGAGGGCUAUUGGAUAAUUGAUUUAGUUGCUUUAGAUUAUCGAGUUCCCAUUUGUUGAUAUAUUGCAUAUAUGAUAUUAGGCCAAGAGGGGCCAUUGGACAUCGAUAUAUAUUGAUUAUUGCAUUGUAUAUGCUAUGAAACAUGUGAUAGGUGCCAUGGGUAGCGUGGUGAUAGUGGGCAGAUUUUGGACUUCGGGAGGUAUUUGAUUGUGCUAUUGUAAUAUAUUGUACUACUGUGACAUGUGAGUAGUGGACAACUGGACAUGAUAUGUUUGCACCGAGGGCACCAGAUUAGUUACUUGUGAUCUUUUUAUCAUUGCAUAGACUAUAUAGCCUGUAGAGCUACAUGGGCUUGACAGCCCCUUCGAGUGUCACUCUGGAGGCUGGCCAGCAAAGAGAUUUGAUGAUAGUUGUGUCCUUCUUUCCUUCUGUAUUGAUGACAUCCUAAUUCUUGCUCCUAAUCUUGAUCGAUUAAUCAAGUUAGGCCCUUCUUAUCAAACUAUUUUGAUAUGAAGGACCUUGGUGAAGGAUAUGUAAUUUUGGAAAUGAAGAUUAUUUAAUUAUCUGAUUCUAUUCUUCUGACCCAAUCUCAUUAUAUCCAAAUGGUUCUUGAUAAAUUUGAGUAUUCUGAUUGCUCUUCAGUUUCUACUUUAUUUGAUCCUAUUGUUCAACUUGUAAAAGGCACUAGUAAUCCUGUGAAUCAAAAGAGAUAUGCCCAGAUCAUUAGUACUCUGAUGUAUCUAACCAAUAGGACUAGACCUAAUAUUGCCUAUGUCAUAUCUAGAUUGAGUAAAUAUACUAGUAACCCUAAUAUGACUCAUUGUAUUGCUCUUGAGAGAGUAUUUCAUUAUCUUAAACGUACUCUCUCUUAUACUCUCAAAUUUAUUGGUUGUCUUGCAGUAAUUGAGUGAUAUAGUGCCAGCUGGAUUCUAAUUUCUUGAUCCAACUUCUAGUUAUGUAUUUAUUCUUGGUGAUAGUGCAGUUUUUUAGCAAUCCACCAAACAGACCAUCAAAGUCAGAAGAACAAUGGAGGCCGAGCUGUUUGCUCUUGACUCUACUUGUCUAUAAACCGAGUGGCUCAAGAACCUUUUGUCAUCGAUCCCUUAGUUUUCCUCUCCUAUUCCACCUAUUUCUAUUUGGUGCGACUCUCGACCUACAUUUGAUUUUUGUAAACAAAAAUCGGUGAAUUCUAAGGCUAGUAGACAUAUUAAGUUAAGACAAAAGCCUGUUAAAUGGUUAUCUUCUCAUGAUGUUUUUUAUUUGAGUUUUAUCAGAUCUGAGCAGAAUCUUGCAGAUUUCUUAACGAAGGGCCUAAAUAGGACUAAGGUCUUGGAGUCAUCGAGAGGGAUGGGACUUUGCUCAUAAAGGGCCUUCCUACAGCGGAAACCUAACCUUUAUGAUAGAAAAUCCUUUAAAGAAGGUUUUAUAUGAUAAUAACUAGUUAUCGGAUUGGCCAAAGAGAACUUUCUACAAUUUUUAUAGAGGAGCUUUAGCUCCAAUUCCAUCCCUAUGGUAAGUAGUGCACUAUAUAGUGGUUGAGGUUGAGCUUAUAGCUCUUAAUGAGAUCCAAGGCGGAAAUUUCCAUGAGGUAUGGCUUUGUACACAUUCCUGGAGGAGAACACCUACACGAGAGUAUCACUAUAUAGACGAGGCUAUAAAAUAUAGGCUAUCCAUAGAAACUCUUAUGAAAAAUAAAGAUACAGAUGCAUUAUCAUUAAUGCACGAACCAGGGACGAAAAAUUAUGUAUUGUGUGUGAUAGCUGAAGUCAAGGCCAAAGGAACAUAGUUCAAGACCUGAUUCACUCUGAUUCUUUCUGAUGGAAGCUACUCAUACAAAGUGGGAUUAAGUCUUUUAAAGACACCUCAUCCAUUGUGCAGUAUAAACACCCAGAUAUUUUUAUUUUAAAAUUUUUAUUUCUUAAUUUUGAUUUUAAUUCUUGUUUUUAAAAUUUUAAGUUUUGUGGGGGAUUGUUGAAGAAAAAUAAAAAUUUUGAAUUUUGAGUUUAUUUUAUUUGUAUUUAAUAGUUAUUUAUUUAAUAUUUAUUAUUAUUUUUUUAUUAUUUAUUUAUUUAUUUUUCUUUCUUUCUUGGGGCGAAAGAAAAUCCAACGGGAAUCAAGGUUGUAAAUAGCCGAUAGCGGGUACAUAACGUUUGGAGAGUCUCAUAGCAAAAAGCGGAUGGCGGGCGCCAUAGCGAGCGCUAUGAACCCAUAGCAGACAUAUAAUUUUGAAGAAAAAAUAACUAUUUAAUGUCAUUAUCUAUUAAGAAUUUGAGAUUAACUUUAAAAUAUUUAGCAAACCAAAAAGACAUAAAACUUGAAAAUCUAUAAUACAUUGACAAUUUAAAUAAUUUGUAAAUGGAUGUCAAAAAAGAUAUUUUAGGUAAAUAAUUAUAUUCCAAACCCUUAGAAACAGGGUUUGAUCUUUAUAUUUUAUUUAAGAAUCCGACCUGAUAACCUAUUUUAAUCUAUUUGCACUUCUUAAAAGUUAGGGCUCAUAUUCUGACGACUUUAUAACGGCCGCUUUAGCUGACCCUAUGGCGCUAUAGCGGCCGCUAUAAACCAGAUCCGCUAUAUACCGCUUUAUAUAUUAUAGCGUAGCGGUAGCACAUAAUAUCCGCUAUAGCGGGUAUAGUGGCCUGUCACGGACUUCGCAUUUUUGUUCGCAAAGCCCAUGCGGCGCCCGCCUUUCUUCGUAGAGAUGGUCAAACCUUUGUCCCUAAUGUUAGCCCGGACCUUCGCGUUCGAUGACUGAGUAUGCAAAGGAAAGUAACGAGAGAGAGAGGCAGAGGUUAACCCAAAAAACUAAGUACUCCACUACUUAGAAAAGGAGGAUUACAGCAUAUAUACAUACUCUCUCUUGUGUGUUUUGGCCAUAGCCAAACCCUACUAUUUAUAGGCCUAAGGAUACAAUGAACCUAGCCACACAACACACCCACUAGCCCACACAUAAUGAGCACUCAUAAUUGCUAAAAGCCCAAGAGUCACACCAUAACUCCUGGCAGUUUUGCAACCCUUGAGUUUCCCACAUUGGGUUGGAUUCGAGCCUCCUUGACAACCUGGUUCAAUCCGUUUUCGCUUGCGGAGUUGGGCCAGGGACCGAGCUGCACAGAAUUUUUCUAAGUCCCUGACAAGCCGCUAUUUAAAUCAUUGACGGGAAGCUUUUCCGUUUCAUUUCUUGCGCCUAACAGGAGAGAACGUGGGUCGAACGUUUUCUAGAAAAUGUUCGACUCCCUCGUUACCCUAUAUAUUUCUUCCCAUGUUCUUACGCGGGAGGAUGACAGAUAUUGAAAGAAAAAAAAAAUAAAAAGAAUAGAGAUUUUCCCCCUUCGUUGAUUCUUCACUCCUUUGCAUAUUUUCUUAUUUACUGGGUGUUGAAAGAAUCUCCGUCGACCUCCGCCAUAAUCGUGCCCGCAGGAGGAGGAAUUUCGGUCGUAUGUUAGGAUGGUACUCUCAGUUAAUCCUGCACGUAGGACGGGAAUACGCCUUAAGGCAAUGCUGCGCACGUUUCCGGAUCAAUCAAAUUUUGUAAAUUUUUAGCGUUUAUCUGUAAGUUUAAUUUUGUCUUUAUCACUAAAUUAGUUAAGACUUUGACUAUAAUCAGAUUUGGCAGUACAUUUCUUCCGAACACUUGGCACGUAUUUGCAUCAAUCUCCAUCCAAUUAGCUGAUUCUGUCAGUGUACAAAAAAACCAACUACGCAGCGGUCAACUACCUCGAUCCAUACUGAAGGAAGAGAUCAGCUUCGACGUUAAACAAUCAAGCCCUUCAAACCAAAUCCAAUAAUAAUAACAAUAAUAACAAAUGGAAAGGAGAGGAGAGGAGAGGAGGGUGCAGUAGGAAAGGGGAAGGGGAAGAGGGGCGUACGAGCAGAGCCGCAGCCGACCAUGAGGACGCGGGCGGGAGUGGGGACGAACUUGCGGACGAAGGGGCGGAGAGCGGAGUAGCGCUGGUACCAGUCAAAGGCGGCGCCGCCUUCCUCCAUGUAGCGGAGGUCCCAGUAGAGGGGGUCGCCAUAGUUCAGGCUCUGCUUCUCCCUGCUGCGCCCAGAAACUUCUCCUCCUCCUCCUCCUCCUCCUCCGGUCCCGUACAUACUGCACCGCUCGCUCGAACGCUUCUGAUCGAUUGGUUGAUUGAUUGAUGAUUUCUUUUUACUAUUAGUAUUGUUGUUAUUAUUAUUAUCUUGUGGUCUAGACAGAGGGAAGGCCUCCUCUCCCCGGCCGAUUUUUAAUUUUCUGUGUCCGCUGUGCCACACGAAUUUUGAAAUCUAUUAAGAUAACGAUUUCUUCUAUUUUUUGUUUAUUUUUUUAUUUGUUAUUAAUUUUUUAAAUUUUCCAUUAGCUCUUUGCUUCCUUCAUUUGACUAAGAACUGCUUAUUUCUUAAAUACGUAUUAGUUCAGAUAUAACCACAAACUAUUAAGAUAUCGUUUAGUUCAGAGGUAAUUAGUAAAAAGUGGCUAUUUUAGGGAUAGGUAUAAAUUGAGGUAUAAGCGGGGAUUAGAUCAAUUUUACGUUUGGAUGAAAAUUGGAUUAUUUCUGAGAAUAAAAAAAAUAUCGUUUGGUUAGGUAAGAUGAAAUAAAAAAAAUAGUAGGUUUAUAAAUAAAAAAAAUAAUGAUAUUACUCUCUUAUUAUAUUUAAAUUUAAAUUUUUAAAUUUUUAAAUUUAAAAUUUUAACUUUGAAAUUUCAAAAUUUGAAAUUUAAAAUCUCAAAUUUUAAAUUCAAAAUUUUAAAUUUUAAAUUUCAAACUUUAAAUUUAAGAUCAAAUUUAAAUUUAAAAAUUUAAAAUAUUAAAUUUAAAUUUAAUUUUUAAUUUAUAAUUUAAAAUUAUAAACUUUAAUUUUGAGAUUAUAAUUAUAAAUUUUAAAUUUUAAAUUAUUAUUUUUUAAAUUUUUAAAAUAAAAUACGGGUGGCACAUUAAUAAAAUAAUUUAUUAUAAUAAAUUUAUAAUUUUUUUAAAAAUUCUACUUAAACUUAAAUUUUAAUAAAAGAAUUUAUUAUAAUAUUUAAAUAUAGUUUAUUAUAAUAUUUAAAUAUAAAUAAUAUGUAUUAAUAUAGUAAAUUAAUAAUUUUAUAAUAAAAAUAAUGUAUUAUAAUAUAUAAAUAUAAUAUUUAUAUAAUUUAGUUUUAUAAUUUAAUUUAUAAUUUUAAUUAAGUUUGAAAUUAAGCAUUGAAAUAACACUAUUCCAUCGAAAUGGUGGAAUGGCAAAUCCCUUGCUAUUCCGAAAUAACCGGAAUUAGCAAAGUUUGACCGGGAUAAAAUAUUCCGGCCAAAUUUCACUCCGUUUGGCGGAAUAGCGGGGAUAACUUUCGUUAUCCCCGCUUAUCCCCCGAACCAAACAGGGCCUAAGGGUAUAAAAAAAUUAAUAUUUGAAUAAAUAAUAUAGAAUAAGAAGAAUAGUGAAAAAAUAUAAGAGUGUGUUUGGUUCGAAGUCGGACUUGGUAUCGAAAUCAGAAUGAGAAUAAGCUUGGCAAAGGAAUCAAAAUGAUUCAUUAGCUCAUUCUGUUUGAUUCGCCACCUGAAUCGGAAUCGGCACGAACAAUUCCCAUUGUCGUUGUUUGGUUCGAUAUCAGAAACGUAUUCAAAUUAAUAUGUCAAUUUUAUCUUUAUAAUAUAUUAGUUUAAAUUCAAGCUAAAAAUUAAAUAUUAAAAAUUUAUAUCGAAAAUUUUAAAAUGAUGUCAAAAUUUUAAAUAUAUUUUUUUUAAAAAAAAUUUGAAAUUGAAUGGAUAAUUCAAAAUAUAAAACAAAAUUUCGAUUUAUUCAAAUUCAAACUUAAAUUAUGAUUUAAAUUUCAAUUUGAAUCUAUAAAUUUAAUUUAAAUUUUUUUAAAAAUGAAAUAAAAAUUUAGAUUUUAAAUUAAAUUUAAAUUUGAAUNAUAAUUCAAAAUAUAAAACUAAAUUUCGAUUUAUUCAAAUUCAAACUCAAAAUUAUAAUUUCAAUUUCAGAAUCCAUAAAUUUAAUUUAAAUUUUAAAUAAAAUUUGAAUAAAGCUUUAAAUUUUAAAUUAAAUUUAAAUUUAAAUUCAAAAUUAUAAAUUAGAUUCGAAAUGCUUGAUUGAAUUUGAAUUUUUAAGUUCAAAUUAAAAUUAAAAUGUAUAAAUACAUUUUAACUAGGUCAUAUUCAAUCGUAUACCACUCAUGAUAUGUCAUAAUGCCAAGUUCUAGUUACUUAACUAGAUCAUCUACAAGAACACGAAGUUCAUGCGAAAUGUUAUGAAUAGAAGUGAUAUGGGAAAUUUCACCAUGUUUGAUCUUGGAAUAGAAUUGCACUAAUUGUGCAACUUCCUGAUGAGCUUUGAUUCCUGGGGAUAGGUUGACAAUUGAGAUUUUACGUCGCUUCCUAUUAGUAUAUGAUAAUCUUUCAAAGCACAAGAUGUGUAUCGAGUAUAAUCUUUGGAUUUCACUUAUGGAUGGUUUUUGUUGGAAUCCUCCUUAGAGAAAGGAAUGAUUGAACUCCAUUCAUAAGAACAUGAUAGGAAGAGCUAGACUUCGGCCUCGACCCAUUUGAGGAAAGUGAGAAAUGAAACUUAGCCUUAAAAACAAUGGAUUUUGUGGAUAAUUGAGAGACCUGAUGAACAAGAGCUGGUAAAAAGAGGAACUUCCUACUAUAAGGAGGUGAUAUAAGUUCAAGGAACAAUGGUGGAAAAGGUAAAUUGCAAUGUGCUGAACUUUCAGAAUCGUGGAUUCCCCGUAAGAAGAUGCUUUGUACGAUCUAAUUGGUUCAAACUCUUUGGGAACGAAUUGGUGCGCUAUUUGAACGCAUUUCCCAUUUGUUUCGGAUGAUUUUGUGUUGUGAAUUAAGUUCUAGUUUCGCAAACGAAACUUCUUUUUAGGAGGGGAGAAUGUAGUACACUGAACUUUAGCAAAUUGCGAAGUUCGAAUGUUAGAAUAGUAAUUGAAACUAUUCUACAUCUUUUGAAGGGUUGUUGAGAGGUUUUCAGCAUGUUACUGAAGGGAUUAAGUGGUCGGAAGAGUGAAAGUGCAUUAGAAUUUCAAAAUGCAGAAUUUUGUAUAGAGUAUCGGUUCCAAUUCAGGGGAGUACCGGUACCCAGUGCAGCAGAAUGUGGAUAAGGGUCUUUUUGGUAAUUUUACUUUGAUGGUUAUCCAUUUAACCCCCAGCUCGACUUCCUCGGCUAGUUCUUAUCCAUUUUGGCUCAGGAAAAACAGGGUAAGCCCCUCUCUUUCUCUCUCUAAAACUUCUCUCUAUUUUUUAAUAGAAGUAAAUGGAAUUAGUUCUUUUCUCUUCUCUUCUUCAUGUUGGCUGAUGUUGUGAGCUGUGGGGGAGUUACGAAAGAGGUGACGGAGAGUCUCUGUGGUCAUAAACUCCAACCCUAGCUCAGGAAUUUGCUGAGCUUAAAGCUUUGGAUGGUGAGCAAACUAACCAUUCUCUAGUUUGAUAUAUUAGUAGUAGUAUUGGUGGUGUUUUUGAUGUUAGCUCACAGCAGGGUUAUGAAACUCUUUUAGUUGAGUUUUAUGAACUUUGUAGAUUGGAUUUGAUGUGCUUCAACCUGAGUUGGAGCUGUACAAGAUGAUUAGCUAAUUUCUCUCUCUAGUUUGAUGCUAAAGUAGUGGAUUUGAGCUUGUUCUUUGCUUCCUUAUUGCCAGCUGGUUUGGAGAAGUUUACAGCAGCUGUGGAGGUAUGGGAGGAAGUAUUUUGGCUAUGGUUCUUCAAUCCUAGCUCAGUAGAAACUGAGUUAGAACUUCGGAAGGUAAACUAGCUAGUGUUUUCACUAGUUUUGAGGUUGUAAUAAAUGUUUAAGUGGAGUUCAUGGUGUAAGUUCACAGCAGGUUAUUGGACCCCUUUGGCUGAGAUUUCUGAUCUUUGGAAGGUUGGUUUUGGUGUAUUCCAACCUGAAUUGAAGAGAAGAUUAAGUUUGGAUUCUAUACUAGGCACAAUUCUACCUAAGUGAGAUGUUUAUGUGAGGUAUUGUGUAGAAGUUUAAGUAAAACUUCUGUCACAACCCGCAACCACCCGCCCAUUUGGCCGGGUCGCGGCGUCGCCGACAGACCGCCGAACGGACAAAGUUUUUCCUGUACUGCGGGCAGAGUCUUCCCUGUACGUCCAAGGCGUCGCAAUCAAUAUAAUGUACGAAGUUCCAACUAAGAACACAUUUCAAUCAAAGAUUGCAUAAGGAAGUAUCAAAACAUAAUCAACUUGUUAUUACAAGCAUUCAUAUUCACUAGAUACAUUUUACAUCACAAUUACAUAUUACAUUCUUUUUAGCUUCCAAAUACAAUCUAGCUUUAACAAUAUUAUUACAACUUGAUUCUUUUCAUUUUCUUACAUCUCUAAGCAAGGCCGACUCAGGGUACCGCUAUCUCUGGUCUCGGUGAUGGGGCGCUAACUAUAGAACUACGCCCUCGCCUCGCGCCGCCGCGCCGCUCACGUGUAAACCUGUAACACCCCAAAACAACGUGGGGUGAGAACCAACUCCAUGGUUCCCAGUGGGUACGGCCACCCAAGGAAAAAGCUCAACCAAUAGGUCUAAUGAGGCACUGCAACAGGUUAGUCCAAUAACAUAUAACAGAUAUUUAAACAUUUAUUCGAUAUUGAACUACAUGUCAUGCCUUGCGAUAUGCAAUAUGAAACCAUGCAACUAUACAAGUAAAAUAAGUGAUUUUACUUUCUAUCGAAACCAUACAACUAUACAAGUAGAAUAAAUGAUUUUAGUUUCUAUCAUGCUAUCCAUACCUUUUCCAUAAGUUAUACAUCUUGUUACUUUACAUCAUUGGUUAUUUGCUCCUAAGGUUUUCCUCUCUACCCUAGCCAAGCUAACCACCCGACUCGGUCUCGAGUCAAUCACAUUGUAGUGCGUAUAUUCUUUGAAAAGUAACUCUUACUUGACCCAAUCUUACCGGUUAACCUUGUUAACCCCAAUAACUCAUAAUCCAAAUCCCUUUAACCGGGGAGGCUCCAAGCACUACCGAUCCGAGGGACCGUCUACGGGGAUCUCGCUCCCCGAAGUGACAAUUUCCGGAAACUCACCGCUUGAGGGGGAGCUACCACCCUCAAGUCAAGACUUAUCAUGAGUAUCGAUCGAAUCCCCAACUUGAGGAUACUUAGCCACUAGUCACAAUGCCACUUUUAUGAUAGGUUUUCUACCUAUUUGUUCAUGCCCCUUUUUAGGCCAUUCUUGUCUCAAUGCCACUCGUGGUUAAACUAUGUUUAACAACUAUAUUCUCUAUGCCAAACAAUGUCUCUAUUGUCAAUGUCACCUUUGUUUACUAUGUCCAAGUCCAACUCUCACAUUCACACAAUUAUAGGGUCCCAACAUACAUGUCCAUUAUAGUUCUACCAUUCUCUAUGUUCAACUACGUUAGAACAUGUCAUUGAAAGCAACCAAGGUUCACAUGUACUUAGCCCUAUCAUGCAUGAAUGAUACAAAAUAUAUAUAUACUCAAAUACCAUAAGUGUUUGCUAAGUUCAUGACACUAGGUUUACACUAUACUUGUUCAACCUAUGUUCAAGACACUAGGUUUAAUGCCACUUGAUGUCCAACCUAUGUUCUUUGACACUAGGUUCAUAUCAUCCAUGUUCAACCUAUGUCCAUCACUCUAGGUUUAGUGCCACUCGAUCUAAUGUAUAUAGAUUGUCCAUAUGCACAUUUUCAUUUCUUAACAUUAGUAUCUCUACAACAUAAUUAUCAAGUAUAUCUUAGUAUUAGCCAUAUGCUUACAUUUAGCAUUUUUAUGACAUGCAUCCAACUAACAUUAACCAAUACAUAUAUUCUAGCAUUUCUAUACCACAUCAUUCAUGUAUUUAUUUAGCAUCCUUUACAACUUAUCAUUAUACUUUACAACUAGCAUGUUCUCUACUUUUGUUAACAUGCAAAUGUCAUUUACCUCAUGCUUUUAACUAGCAUCAUUUAUAUUACAUCAUCAUGCAUUUCCUUUAGCAUUUACUACAUGCAUCCAUCUAGCAUUUAUAUGUAUCAACACGAAUUCACUUUACUUAGACAUACAGGCGACCUAGUCACUUCGGUAAGUACAACCCACCUCAAAUCGCUUUCCGAUUGCUUGUUGACACUUGCAAUCGGCCUCCUGCGGCACCCGGCACCCGGUUUGGCCCGAUCCCUUGCGCGACCACCCGAACGGCCUCCAAUCCACGAUCCGGAAAUUAAAGGUCUUCGGUUAUGUGCCACGGUACUUCAAAUCCAUUUUCAUGAGUUUACGAUGUCGCCUCGACCCUCCAGGCGGAAACGAAGCCUAAACGUCCGUUUCUUUAAUAACUUCACAACGGCUCGACAAAUCGCUGAACCGACUCCGCCAACGCAUUCGUUUACCUAGUAAUUAGGUUUACAGAGGGUCAAAUGAGAUCAAACUCUCAUAUUUACAAAACUAGCAUUUUUGAGCCCUAGAUUAUAACUAGGUAAAAAUUCAUUAUUUAGCUUCAUGAAUCAUGCAUUAACCAUCUAUUUAGCAUCCUAGGAUUUUUCUAAAUCCAUUCUUAGAGCAUAUAAUUAAGGCUCUAAAGAUCUACCAUGAGAGGGUUCAAGAAGCUCAUUUCAAGCCCUAGGUUUACAACUAGGCAAGAAAUCACUAAAUUGAUCCAUGAUUUGAGCAACAAUCAUCUAUUUAGCAUGCUAGAAUAGCUCUAAAUCCAUUCUUGGAGCUUAAAACCCAAACUAGAGAGAGAUGCCAUUAAAGCUCUUAAAGCUUACCUUCAAAGCUUGCUCUCCAAUGGCUAAAGAGGAAGAUGAAGAAGAUGACCUUCCUCCAAGCUUCAAUCUCCACCGAUUCCUUUAAUUUUGGGAGAGAUUUAGAGAGAGAAAGGGAGGGUUCUCUCUUUCCCUUUUCAUGCGUGUGUGUGUGGUUCGUGUGCGUGUGUGGUGUGCUCGGGCUGAGGGAGAAGAAGCAAAUGCUUCUUAUACACUUUAUAGCCCCUCAACACUAUUCACUCCAGGCAGUUUAGUAGUUCGGAACAGUCGGAGCCCUUCUGAAUGUCCGUUUGGGCUCAAAUUUGACAGGCAGGCUCGGUUUAACAUACUGAGUAAGAAUAUAUCUUAAGCUUUCAGUUUUGACCCCGUUUGGUCACCGAAAGCUGUACCGAACUGUAAUCUUUAUUAGAUAGUUAUCGGAUUUUAUUUUCCACCUUCCGGGUGUCAGAAUAAUAUGAAACUUUAAAUCCAGCCUCAUAAAAAUAAUUCUGGCUUAUCCUCCAGUUUUCAUAAUUUUCCGACACUGUACAUUUUCUGCUAAUUUAUCUGUCCCGUUUCCAACAGAAAAUUCUAAAUCUUCUAUUUUCAUUCCGAUUUCAGCACAAGUCACUUCUGACUUAUAUUUUACUUUUCUAAAUCCAAUAAAAAUAGUUUCUCACACUAUUUUUAUUUAUUUUUAUUUUUAUACCAAAAUCUGGUAUGUUACAGCUUCUAACUUAUUUAAU
RNAcentral lists this long non-coding RNA (82585 nucleotides) under Ananas comosus (pineapple). RNAcentral's name for it is "long non-coding RNA (ACOM_LNC026837)". The record is from RNAcentral. Lineage: Eukaryota; Viridiplantae; Streptophyta; Magnoliopsida; Poales; Bromeliaceae.